UUGCAAAGAGUCAAAGGUCAAACUCAGGAUCUGAUUUCACUAGGAUCUUUUUACAAAGGUGUUCUAAAACACAAGGAGUACUCAACUCAAGGCUAACCUAUUACAGGACUAUCCAAAAUUUAGGCUGCCAAGGAGUACAACAAAAGAAUGGGUUCCCUACAACUCUACAUCUAUGAGGGAACACUGUGAGUUGGAGAAGGGGCGUCGUCCUCUUCAAUGUCCAUGCUACCGUACUGUGACCGCACUUGCACCCACAUCAUGCACCAUGGGAACCUCGUUCCAGGGACAGCAGGGGUAUAAGCCACUCCCUAGUUCAAUCAGGUACUAGGCUUCCCCAUCCCAUACUAGGUAUGAUAUUAGUACUUUCAAACACUUGAUCACGAACACCACCACUAUCGGGCCUUAGCAAGUUUCAUAGACAGACGGGGCGAUCAGCCGACCACCAAAAAGUUAUCCAACACCUUUCCCCGUCCAUCGUCCUUAUAGUUGUAACAGAAGGGAAACGACCAACUCCUACAACUCGCGAGUGACAGGAAAUCACUCGGCUUUUACCGUUUCCUAAUUAAGCAAAGCAUCUACUCGGUCCAACAGCUAGUGAUCAGAUCAAGGGAUCUAAGUCAUGCAUCUAUGGUUCCAAACAACUCCUAUACGUAAAUGCACAAGCGUGUUAAAGAAGGCAUGCGCAAGUUUGGUAAAACACAGGGGGUUCAUGCAUCCGGGGCUUGCGUUCGAGCAAGGAGGAGGGAAACUGCUCGUCUGCUUGGGCGGCUUCGGCUUCUGGAGGUAGGAGCUCGGCUACACCUUCGUCUUCUGGCGCCGGGUGCAGCUCGUAGAAGCCGUCGGCGAGACGCAGCUCUACACGAAUGCAAUGCAUUGGUUAGCAUUUAGACGGUUAUUUUCAACAGCAACACUUGCAAGUUUGAGCCCAGAAACUUGCGGCAAGUUACAGGAGGGUGGGGAGGUUCGAUUGAGUUGGUGGAGAUCAAGAUAUAAGGGUCGGAUGGGGAGGAACUUAUGAUCUGACCCUUAAUCUAGAGGAAUAGAUGUGCUAGGGGUCCUCAGACGUAACGCUGAAAAGUCCCCAACUGUUACACAUACACCCUCGAUUCAAGGAAAAAGAUACAGCCGAGCCCUCGGGCGAGGCGGAGAAAGGUCGGCGGAACAGACAUGGUCGGGCGAGACGGAACCGGGGUUGGGCGGAUAGGAGGGAUCGGACGAGGGGAACAAAGGGUCGGUAGCUUACCUUCGUCUUACAGAUAAGGCUUGGGGUCGGGAAAGAACAGGCUUGAGCGGAAAGACUAAGACUUGGGACAACGGCGAGGAUGUCCGGUGGUACUCCGACGGUGGCGGUGCUUCUUGUGGAUCACAAGCAAACUCUUGUGCAGCACGGGGAGCAGUGGCUGGGGAUUGGGGGAAGGUGGUGUUUGAGCGGAGAGGAGAGUUCCUCAGACUUAGGCGGUGGCGCUGUGAGCACAAACAGGGAGCAAACGGGAGGGCAGCGAUGGCAAAGGGGAACUCCGGCGGGGCUCCGGCAUUCCAUUUUAUAGCUGCGCGGAAGAGAGAAGGGGGAGCGGCGCGAAGGCCGGGAAGAGGCGAUGGAGUGCUCUGCCGGGGCGGCGAUUGAGUGACGAGAGCGGUGGAGCAGGACUUCGGGGAUGGCACCGGCGGUCAUUGGGCACCGAUGUCAGGGCGGCGCAGGCGCGGGUUUGCCGGUGGUUGAGAUUUGGCGGAGGUGGGCGUCGUCGUGCGGUGGAUCUGAUGGAAGUGACCGGGGAAACGGCGCUAGAAACGAGGGCGCACAGGUGAGAAGAUAGGCGGCUGCGGUCGCACGGGCGAGCGUGGAGCAACAGAUUGUCGGGGCGGAGCUUCUGACAAGGCAGAAAAGGAGCUGUCACUGCCGCGGUCUGGGUUGGCAGAGAAGGAAUCGUCGCGUAGCGAGGACCGGGGCGGCGCGACUGUGGAGGGGUGACGGAAAAGACGGGCGGCAUCGGGCUCUGCGGCUGGGAUCUGGCGAUGUGAUGAUGGGCGUGGGCGGCGAGGUGCUGCAGAAAGGGUAGCAGAGGAGCUUCCGCUGCGAUUGGGGGAAGGGGGCGCGAGAAUCCAUCCGGUCGUGGCCGGCGACGAGGCGGAGCGGCGGGCGUCGGAGGAGUUGAGCCACGCGGCUAGGGAACUCUGAAGCGGGCAUGCAACUCAAGUGCGCCUGUCGCGGGAGAUCCGGGAGAAAGAACCGGUCAGUCUCGGUGGUCCACGGCUCAAAUUGAAGGGAGGCGUUGUGGGAAGACUUAGAAAGAUCCGACGGUGGGUAGAGGGUCGGCGGGGUCGGAACUGGGGGAAACUCGGCGAGGGGUCGGACCACAGGGGGUCGGGAGAUCUGGAGGUUGAGCACUUAGGCUUGAUAAACUGAGGCAGGUGAUCAUGGACUCGGAUUAAGAUUAACGCGAAGGAUUUUAAUCGAGGUCGUUACACUGCCGCCACCGCUGAAUGGGCUAUGUGUUAGUCUUGCGUUGUCUCUUUUUAAUUCUUUAUUUGCUUAUCAGUACUCAGAUGUUGAAUGUUCAGAACUUGUAAUAAGAUGACUAUUAUGUGAUGUAGAAAAUUUAGCUUGCAAGACUAUUCUUUUUGUUGACUGAGAUGAUCUUAUCAUUAUAUAUUGCUCGAUAUCGUGUGAUCAUGUUGAUAUAUUAUAUAUUGCACCCGCGGGUGACGCAAAACGCGAGGACGACCUGUAGGUGUGGGUGCGGGUGUGGCAUUUCACAUGCGGGUCUAUCCGAGGGCGGGUGUGACCAAGUGUGGCGGGUGUUGUUGAGUCCAGGAAUGAAGAACUGAUAUUUGGUUCAUCUUUUUCUUUUUAAUCUGAAAUUAAAAAUUGUAAUUCAUUUUUAUCCCUCACAAGAACUCCAACUUUAAUGAUUUUUCCCUAAUUUCUUCUAAAAUCAUAGUCUUUCAUUUAAUGGUAUUUGUUUGUAUGUCAAUCCUAUUUCUUAGAUAUUUUAAAUAUGGCUUGUUUCUUCCACCAAAUAGAGAACAUAAAAAAAAUGUUUUUGCAUAGCAAUUAUUAAUGUAACUUCAUAUUUUCUAAUACUAACAUAAAUAUAAGGUUGUGUUUAAAUUUGAGGUGCAUACGAGUUCAAAAAUAUUCUAAUGUGUACAAAUUACAAUGUAUUAACUUGAGUUAUAUGAAACUAUGUGGGAGAUGUAUCCAAUUGUGAACAAUGUGUAGUCCCACUUUCAUAAAAUCAUUUGAAACUUUUAUGACAAGCUUAUAGACCCAAAAUACGUUGUCAGAUCGAUUUUUAUAAUUUCCUGAUUAAGUUUAAAUAUUAUUACAAUUAUUUUGUUCCAAUUGUGAGAUGGAAGGUUGAAUUAUACCUAGCAAACAAAUGAAUUCUCCGUGUAUCUCUAGGAUAUGGGUUAUAAAGGAACAUAUGGGUUUAAAUAUAUAUUUUAUGCAAUUUUUCCGAGAUUAUUCGAGGUACACAUAGUUCAAUUUGGAAUUACUGUAAUAAUUCAUUUAAACUAUAGAAAAUAGCAGACCAGUUCAAAAGUUACUGAAACUCAUACAGGACAACUUAAAUGUAGUAUAUUAAUUUUUCAAAAUAUAUUGAGGUAUUCAAAAUAUAUUGUUUUGCAAGUUUCUUCACAAGGGUGCUUUAAAAUGGAAAAAGAAAAAAACAUUAAACAGUGAAGUCUCCUGCAAUAGACCCAAUUUCAGCCCAAUUGAAUGGUUCGGCCCAUGAAAACGCACUGCUUUUAGCCGUUGGAUCUACUGAACGGCUGAGAUGAAGCGUGCUUCAAAUAAAUACCUGACCUGCCCAAACCCUACCCUGCAUCCCCGCCGCUCUCUUCCUCCAAUCCUCCUCACCUCUCUCUCCCUUCCCUCACCCCUCCGCAGAUUCACCAGCCGCACCCCUCUCCCAUGUCGGUGCUACGGCCACGGGCGGUGCCUCCUUUGCCUGGUGGAGUUGCCCCCUGGAGCUCCCUCUUCGUGUCGUGUGCACCCCUCGUACCCGGCCUUCGCCUCCACCUCUGGCCACACCCCCCUCGUCGCCUCCACCGCCCCCUCCCUGGCGGGCCCAAUCCACCUGCUUACCCGCGAUGCCCUCCUUUCCUCCCCCACACCCUCCUUGCCUCUGCUGCAAUCUUGCUCGCCUUUCCCACCCUAGAGCCACUGUGGCAGCGCGGAGCCACGGCCGAGGCGCACACAGGUGUUGGCUGGCGACAGAUCUGGCCGCGGCAUGUCUAGAUCCGGCUGCCACGAACCUAGAUCCGUGGGCACGGGCUCACUGCCAGGCUACUCGGUGAGGCACCCUGGUCCCCGCCUCCCUGGAGCAACAAUGGCAGCAGCGAGCUAGGUUGGCAUCGGGCCCUACAGGGAAUAGCUGUGCGGCCGUUCCGGAUCGGGUUCCGGAGGAAGGAGGAAGUAGAGGAGGCGGGGCGAACGACGAGGAGGAGCCGUGUGUCAGCCAUACACGUGUGUCGGUCAUACACCUAUGGGCCCACCGGGAGGCGUGGACAGUCUUAUAAUACUGAGUUGUACACCAAGAUGUAUCAGAUAUGGAGGCUACGAUGCAGGAUGGCGUGGUCUACAUGAUGGACAAGGACUAGUCAAAGAUUAGAAAACUACUCGCAGCAAGUAGAGUAGGACUUUCUGGUCGAAUCCGACUAGUACUCUUAUACAACAACCGACCUGUAACCCUGCCGCCGGCAAUAUAAGGCGAAAGAUAAGGACCCCCUUCAAACAUCUCAUCAAUCAAUACAAUCCAACCAACACACAAAACGUAGGAUAUUACUUGACAUAAGCAGUCUGAUCCUAUCUAAAUCGUGUGUUCGAGUUCAUCUUUGAGUUUAGUUCUCAUUGUCUUGCACACUGUUUGGUCGAUCUAAUCAGAACUCUCUUGCCUAUUUUGUUUAUAUUCAACAUCUACUUGUUAGCUUUCCUGAUUACUGUAACUUACUGUUUUGUUUGGUUUCAGUUACUGAACAGUAACUUCAAGCUGUUCUUCUAAACUUCAUUUCUUGCUGGGUUCAAUUCUGAAAAUCUUGUUACUUCUGAACAUCUCAGGUUUUGUGUAGUUAGAGAAACUUACUCUGAUGUUAGCAGUUUCGAUUCAUUGUAAUGUGCCAAUCUGAAAGUUUGCUAUGUAUGAAAUUGUUCAGGUUCUGGCAGUUUGAGAAAAUCACUCUGAUCAUAUCAGUAACCUAUUCUGAUUACUGCUUGGCAGUUGUUAUUGGUUCUGUAACAUGUAUGCUUGUUAGCCUUUCAGGUAGUUAGUUUUGGAUUUAUUAACAACUAUAACAAUUUGUUGCUUGUGCAAGCAUCUAGUCUAUUCCAGGGUACAUCUAGUAUGGUUUGAUUCAGCUUUCCUUUCAUUAUUUUGCGUCUGUUAGCAUGUAUCCACAAAAAGAAAUCAGAGUGCUUCCUGUUGUCAUGAUUUCUACGCUAGCUGAACUGAAACACUGUCCAUGCCUAGUAGUUCGGAAGCAAAUGUGACUGAUAAGUUGUCUCUCUUCUUUCAGGUAGCAUCGAGCCAUUGAGGAUGCAACCUUCUGUUUCUUUUGCGAGGUAAAAGGUUGUCCUGCAGCUCUGGAGGACAUUGUAAAUACAACUACACUACCAGCUAAUCGUUUUCUUUUGCUGUUUUUCUUCUUUUGUUGGUUCAACCAAGCAAGGAGGGAGGUGAGGGACCAAGGACAAUGGCCAAAAAGAUGGUACACCUAGCGCCCAUAAGAUCUGUUCAUGUCCAUAAAAAAAAAUUCUUCUGUUUGCCUUAGGAAAUCUCUAUUUAUGCUCAUAAGAACAUGUCACGCUCAUGCAAUUUGUGGACUUAAACUGAUUACUGCUAGUUGGAAUAAGUGGAGGAUAUUAGAUUCUAGCUUGUUUGUAGUUAAGGAAAUAAUUGGUUGGUGCCAUGAUUGCAAUCAAAAUAGCACAAAACGAAUAAUAUUUGACCAUUACCUAAGCAAGAGUACUAUAUAUAUUUAUGCUGAUGCAUAUUUUUAUUUUGGUUGCAGAUUAACGAGAAGGCUCAACUAGUGGAUCCAAGAUGAAAAUGUGAAUGUAACCAGCUACUUUGACGUGCUUCUGAAUGUAACUAGAGAUAUUGAAUCUAAUAUGCUGUAGUUCUGAUAAAUGGGCUGAAAAAUUAGUAUGCCUUUUGGGCUGAAAUGGUCGUUCUGAUGAAUGGGCUGUUUGAUUGGGUUGAAAUUUGAUGGAUUGAUUGUUUUUUGAGUGGGUUGAAAUUUGAUGGUUGAAAUGUUUAUGGGCUGGAAUUUUUAUGGACUUAGUACAGUGGGCCAAAAAGUGGCCUAAUUGUAAAAUGGAUCCAUUAACAAAUAGGACACGAAUGCCAAGUCAUUGUUCACGUCAUCAGCCAUGUUAAUGUCCAUAUCAUCAUCAGUUUCCACAUCACCUGCCAAUCAGUAGCCUAGUCAACGUCCAUGUCACAUAUAGGUGACAUGGCUACUUUAUCCAUAACGAAUAUUAAUCUACGUGGCAACCAUAUGUGAUGUUUAUUUUCGUUGUUGAUAUUGGACUUGGACUGGGCUGCGCGGGCCUAAGGGUGAUGGUUAAGAAACAUCAUAGAUUGUGUUGAUCUGUGACGAUUGCGAAGAAAUGUCAAUCGAUUUAAUCUGUGAUGCUCAAUACAUGACGUUAUCUGAAAUCAUCAUAGACACUGCUUUAUGACGGUUUUUUAGCGAUCCGUGACAAAUUUGUUCCGUCACAGAUUAAAUAGUUUAUUGUAGCGACUGUACCAACAAAUCUUGGGAUUGAUAAAGUCACCAUGAGUGUUUCACCUACCACUACAAAAAUGAUAUCGUUAAUUCUUCCUAAAAUAAAUUCAAAAAUUAAAAUUUAAAAAAUUGUGUACUAUAGUGGCAAGUAGAAAUAUUAUUCAGAAAUGCUAUGCACCGAGCGUCCGACGUGAGCUAAAAAGAUCGGACGUGUGUGCCAUACUGAUUGGGAAAGCAGUCCGAUAGCAUUCAAUAACAAAGCACAGACCCGAAUUUCAUUCCAUUCUAAUUAACUGCAUGCUUCUCGUGUCCAAUGACUAUAUCCUCUUCACCUGCUACUACCACCGCCCCUUCCUCUUCCAUCAGAUUUUCUGGUGCUCUGUGCUGAACCUAUUGUUCCUCUCCACCAAGUGCUCUCUCUCUCUCUCCCUCCUCUCCCCCCCCUCUCUCUCUCUGCACUCCUGCAGGCUGCUCCUCCACUCCAGGUAGAUCCAUAUGACUCUACCUCUCUCCAUAAGUUGACUAGGGAAUCUUGAUCUGCCAUGAAUGGAGCUUGGAAGCUCCAUCACGGUUGAGUAGCAACUCAAUCAGACAAGAAGAACAUCAUUUUGGGCACCUGGGCAGUUGAUACUUUGAGCUUGAAAGGUGGAGAGGUCAAUUUAAGCACCUAGACCCGCAAGCUCGGAUGUGUUUUAGGCAAGUAAAUCAGAUGUCGCAACAACCUAUUUGAGGUUGUUGCAGGUGUUUGUUUAGUUUAUUCCUGCUCUAUUCUUCUUUUGUUGGGGAUUUGUUCUCAAUUCCAUCUAUGUGUUCCAAGAUAUUGCAGGUAUUAUAUCUUAACGUCACAAUAUAAAUUUUUGUUUGUAAUAUGUUUGUAACAUUAUUGUAAUGAAAUUUCCACGGUGGUGAAUGUUGCAUUAGUUGAUUUGAGAUGUCACAUGAUUUUGGAUGUUCCAAUAUUUUUUAUUUGGGUCGUUGCAAUAGGUGAGUUAGGAUGUUGCAAUGGUUGAUUAUGGAUGUUGCCGCUUUUGAAGUUAAUUUGGGAAGGUGCUUAGGAUGUUGCCGCUUUUGAAGUUAAUUUGGGAAGGUGCUUAGGGGAGAAUGGAAAUACUGGUGAUUUUGUGGUGAUGUGAGAAAUGUUUAAUGGCAUUUUUGCUCCUUGGUAUGUUGGGUGGAGUAGCCAGAGGUUCAAAGCUGGACUUGAGCUUGAGCUGCCAGACAAUGAAGAUGCAAAAAAGGAAAGAAAUCGAUCAAAUGUUGCAUGCAACGUGAGCCGAUGUUUCAGUUGGAAUUUUUUCUGAUUUUGAUUCGACGGUUGUAGCAGCGUCCGAUGGAGCACCCGGACAUCGGACGUCCGGGCGCUAGCAGCUCCGAAUAUUAUUUGCAACCCAAGUGGCAAGAACACCUUCAAGGAUUGACCCUCUUCUUUUCUAAUUAUUAGAGAAAAUUAUUAGGUGCUCCAGUCGUGGGUUGAAUUCUUCCUUCCAUGCACUCAAAAUAUAUAUAUUCCUUACUCUUUUUUUUACCAAACUCAACCUGUUCUUUUGUAUUUUUCUAUUCCAAACCCGUUUAAUUUGCCUACAAACCCACUGAUUAUCAGACGUUUCGUUGAAGACCGGUCGCCUAGUUGCUCCCAUUGGCAAAUGCUAGCUCAAGACAUAACACAACUUUUCUCGAUGGUUGAGAGGGUCCUAAUAAAAGCAGAAAGUGUAUCAUAAACAAUUAACUUGAAAAACAAACACACACUUUAAUAUAUUCUUCACACUCAUUGCGGAAGUGCCUAUUAAAAUCGAACCUUCACUUGUUAUUGUUACGAAGGUUUAGGUUGGUUCUCAUUAUUGGCACAAACUCAUGAUAGUCGAGAGGGAGGUACGGUGGUAAAUCCACUUGUUAUUGUUACCGAGGCUUAGUUUGCAUCUCAUUAUUUGCUUUCAAAUGAUUAUCAACCAACAUGAUAGAAGUUUUAGAUAUAAACUAAAAGUUAACCUAGGCGCCUUAUAUUAUUUAAUACUUCAUCCGUUCCAAAUUGUAGGUUAUUUUAGUUUUUUUAGUUCAUAGAUAUUAUUAUGCAUUUAGAUGUAUGUUUAGAUGCAUAUAUAAUAAUAUGUAUGAACUUAGAAAAGCUAAAAUGAUCUACACUUGGAACGGAGGGAGUAUUAAACUUGUGGUGCCUCAUGCUCGUCCUUGCUUUGCCCGUCAGCCUUGUGGCACCGUGGACUGAUUGCCAUCUGGGAGCAGUUUUGGCCUUGGACAACGCGCAGACCUUCUCGAGAUCACUGUGAUCUUUUUUUUAUUGGCGUUCGUUGUUUGCAUCAUAUUGCAAAAGAGGCCGCGGUGCGGAUUUCAUGCGUGUGAUCAUGACUAUCGGUGACAGAAGCUGAGCACAUUGCCGUGCGAAGUUGGAUCGUGGGCUUUUGGAAAGAAGAUUAAAGGACGUGAGGGAGGAAGGCGCGCGGAAGAUAGACGAUCCAACAUUGUUUGUUUUUAUUAUUAGAUAUAUAGAGGUAUAAAAUUAACAUUGUUUGUUUUAUUAUUAGAUUAUAAUAUAGAGGUAUAAAACAAGAACUAAUACAUAAAAGCAUGUGCUAAAAAGGAAAAUUACAGUCACUUUUGAUCAAGCCUUCUUCUCCAACUAUUUCCUUCUUAAAGCAAGUAUUUAAAGCUUGUCCUUCCGAGUGUCAAUAGCGUCAUGACCGAUAGAUUAGCGAUUAGCGUUCACUCCAGGCAGUUGCGGCAGUCAUGUUGCUUACCAUCCCUCUUAACGAUGAGAACAUGCAGAGGGCUCCCGUCGAAUAUGGUCGUGCCGAGGAGCCGGAACGCGCGCUGCUUGAAUGCCCAGAUCUCGACGACGUCGUGCUCCUUGAAGCUGCACCGCCGGACGUAGUCCAUGUACCCUCCGCCCUUGACGAUCGUGCCAUGGCUGCUCGACCACCGGGACAGCAGCAGCUCCCCGCUGGCGCCGGCGGCAAGGUCCACCAGCUUCACGGGCAGGCCGCCGUGCACCUUCCCCCUCCUCUUCCUCUUCUUCUUCCCCUCUUGGUCCGCGGUGGCGUCACCGUUCUCAAGCUCGGGCUCGGGCUGCUGCUUCGGCAGCGACGCUGGAUCGUAGAGCAGGUUGGCGGAGUCGAGCUCGUCGACAGUCAGGAUCGGGCGGAGGCGGCGCAGGGCGCCGUCGGACGGGAUGCGGAACCGGUUCUGGUGCGCGUCGAGGUCGGUGUCCGUCACGCGCUUCUCGUGGAUGAAGUGCACGGGCAGGUCCUCCCGGAGCCCGAGCUCCCGGAGUACAUGAUUGCGCAGGCACGGCGGCUCCUCUCGGUUGAUGGGCACCGGCGGCGCCUGCCAAAGCCGGGGCGCAAUGGCGUUCAGGGGGACGGCGUUUAUGGGCUCCACGUCCGCGGGCAUGGCCGCGUCGUGCGGGACCAAAACGCCGGCGCCCGCCGACGGCCGUGCCCGCUUGGCGUCACGCUGCUGCGCGGCGGCGGGAUCGUAGACGACCAGUGCUAGAGUCCUCUUGCCCAUCUUCUUCGUCGGAACAGAGAUCGCAGAGUAAUCUUUAGUGGACGUCGUCGACGAAUUGAGAUCGAAUGUCUGGGGGCAUGGAGAGCCAAGCCCCUUCUAUUUAUACAGCUUGGCGGCGCCAUUCGACACCGAGUCGAACUCGCAGUCCGGCCUCAGCGCGGCGCACGUGGCCGUCGGCGGAGGCAACAGCUGUCGCAGUAGUUCGUGUCGGAAAUGGUUAAGGCGCCAUCCGUGUCCGAUGCAUUUGUUUGAGAGAAAUCCGAGCUCAGUUCUGCUUCGUUUUGGAGGAAUUCCGUGUCCGAUACUGACACGAAAAGACUACGGUGGCGAGGAUGGAAAUGGAUUCGCAUCGUGAAUGUUGCUUCCUAGUCUCGUCACUCUUAUUAUGUUCUCAAUUUGUGAGUUUGAUGGCCACUAGCUCCUAUCCUUCGUUUCCUACUCACUAACCAUCCGUGCGUGCAUGAUUGCAUAGACAAGUGGCUUGUUUAGUCGGUUGGUUCGGGUUCAUAAUUUUUUUAUGACGUGGCCUACUGACAAGGCUUCAUAGUGUUGAAGGAGAGAUAGUGGGAAUUUCGAUCUACACUAAUGUUCUCCGACGGGAGCAGGGUUUUCCUUUUUCGGUAAUUUUUUUGUUGCGCCAUUCUCUUUCGAGGAAAACCACAACAAAAAAUUGAAAGGAAAACGUUAUGAACAAAAAUCUAAAAAGUUGUGCGCGAAACAGCAGCAAAAUAGGAAGGGAAAAAGGAAAAAGAAAUUCUUCCGGAUUUGUAAGAAAAUUUUGGAACAAAAUUUUGUGAGAAAAAUUUGACAUUAAACUUUUAGAAAAUGUUUAGAGAAAAAAUUUGAAAAGAGUUUGUGUACAAACUUUUGCAACGAAAUCUCAAAUGUGAGAAAACUUUUGAAAAAAAGCUUUGUGAGAAAAAAUAACAUAAAGUUUUGGAAAACUUUCAGAGGCAAAAAGAUAUGAAGCAAAAAGAAUGAGAAAAAAUUGAGUGAAAAAUUUGCGAUGAAAUCUGAAAAAAUAGGAAAAGAGAGAAAAGGAGAAAACUCCGACACACUCCUUGUGCAGCUCCACCGUGAAUGCCUCCCUGCGCUACCCGCAUGGCAAGCUGUAGAGCUCUGUCGCUCCAACGCUCACAGCCCUCCUCCAGUUUCGUAGGAUCCACCGUGGUUGCCUGCUUGCGCCACCCGCAUGGUGAGUCGCCGUGCUUCGCUGCUUGCCGCCCGUAUGGCAAGCCACCGUGCUCCGCUGCUCGCCACCCUCCCGCAGGCCAGCAUGCUGCCUCUCGCCCUCCGCUCCCCGAAUUUGUGAGCUUGGUAGAGCUGCCGCCUCUUGCUAGAUUUGAGAAGGGAUGGGAGGAGGAGAGAGGAUUUGAGGAAAAAUUGAAAUGGAAGGCACGGGAAUGGAAUAGGCGGAGGAGACGAGGGGCACAUUGUGGGGUCGUGGGGGAUGGGUGGCAACUGGCGCCAGACGCGUGGUCGGGGAUCAACCGCCAACCGACCGACUGCAAAAUCAUCAUCACGUUACCAAGCCCCUGUUUUGAUCCAAGAAUAGUGGUAGGGUCCACAAACUCGAACCCUAGGGCCGAGUGGUUCGACCCUGCCACCGUUGACACCAUCCCCUCUCCCAUCCCCACCGCUGACAUUGCCACCAGGAACAACCCACCACGGUGCACGCCCGCCCAAACUCCCUCACCGACCCGCGCUCUCGGCUGAAUUCCCCGAUGCCUUCUCGCCACCUUUAUCUUCCUCUCCUGCCCACCCCGCCUACCCUACACAUUUCGCUUCCCCUCUUCGCCCACCAGUGCAGCCUCCUGUCCAUGCAGUCCUCCAAGGGCGACUCGCUGAACUGGUUGCCACGCCGUACCGGUCGGAGACAUGUGCUCUAAGCUUGAGCUUGAAACGUAACAUUAUGUUUUUUAACAGCAGGGACACGGUUUCUCGAGCAUAAUGCUUCUUUGGGCACACAAAUUUGCUUGAAUCAAACAUGCACCUGUUCCUUUUCAUUUUCCAUGGCUAUAUUGUUUUUUUUGUCAGUUCCUUUGGAUUAGCUGUUGCCUGAUUUGAUUCAUAGCGAUCCUACUCUCUUUUUUCCGUUACUGUCUGCAAUAUAAUUUUUAUCGAUCAUAUAUACGAAAUCACACUGUAACAAUGAGCUUGAGAAUCCUAUUAAAUUUUAUUCUAACACAUUACUCUAAAAUAUCCUCAACAUUCAUUAUGGAAGUGUCAGCCAUAGUGGAAAGCGGAAACCGAUAAAUUUGUUCAAAUUGGUGACAGUCGAGAGCGAGGCAAGUCAAAUUGUCAAGAUUCAGUUUGCAUCUAGGAUUAGUUUCCCUUCAAAUGAUUACCAAUUGGCACGCGAGUUCAAACGGUUUCGUACAAAGAUUUGGUUAAUACGAUUCAUGCCAUUACAAUUUCCACCACUGAGGUACAAAUCCUAAUCGCGUAAUUAAAAUGGCUAACAAAUUUUCACGUAAAGAAACUAUCUAUCUAACCAUGCGUUGAACAGCAACAUGAUCGCGUUCUCUCGGGGCGGGGGCAGUAGCGCUGCUGUUGCUACGUGCCAUCUCUCUCAAGUCUUCUUCACGAUCAAAACGUGCAGAGGGCUCUCGUCGAAUAUGGUCGUGCCGAGGAGCCGGAACGCGCGCUGCUUGAAUGCCCAGAUGUCGACGACGUCGUGCUCCUUGAAGCUGCACCGCCGGAUGUAGUCCAUGUACCCUCCCCCCUUGACGAUCGUGCCAUGGCUGCUCGACCACCGCGACAGCAGCAGCUCCCCGCUUGCGCCGGCGGCGAGGUCCACCAGCUUGACGGGCAGGCCGCCGUGCACCUUCCCCCUCCUCUUCCUCUUCUUCCUCCCCUGCUCCUGCUCCCCCUCUUUGUCCGCGGCGGCGUCGUCUUCCUUGGGCUGCUGCGUCGACUUGGACACUGGAUCUUCGAGCAGGUUGGCGGAGUCGAGCUCGUCGACGGUCAGGAUCGAGCGGAGGCGGCCCAGGGCGCCUUCGGACGGGAUGCGGAACCGGUUCUGCUGCGGGUUGAGGUCGGUGUCCGUCACCCGCUUCCUGUCGAUGAAGUGCACGGGCAGGUCCUCCCGGAGCCCCAGCGCCGGGAGGAUAUGCGUGCGCAGGCACGCGAGCUCCUCCGGGGGGAUAGGGGGCGCCGGCGCCGGCGCGCGCCGCGGCCGGGGCGGCGCCAUCGCGUUCAGGGGAACGGCGUUUAUGGGUUCCGCGCCCGCGGGCUGGACCGCGUCGUACGGGACCACAGCGCCGGCGCCCGCCGCCGGCCGCGCCCGCUUGGCGUCACGCUGCUGCGCGGUGGCGGGGUCGUAGACGACCAUGGCGAGGGUCCUCUUGCCCAUCUUCUUCGUCAGAACAGAGAACGCACGAGGACGAGUUCGUUUCCCUUCUCGUGCGCUUGGAUUGGAGGAAUCUGAAUGCGCGUCGUGGAAUUGAGAUCGAAUGUCUGAGGCAUGGCGAGCCGCGCCCUGUCUGUUUAUACUGCUUGGCCGCGCCAUUCGACACCGAGUCGAACUCGCAGUCCGACCUCCGCGCGUCGUUCGUGGCCGUCGGCGGAGGCAACAGCUGUCGAAGUAGUUCGUAUCGGGAAUGACUGAGGCAUCCGUGUCCGAUGCGUUUUUUGGAAAGAAAUUGAAUCCGAGGCCCAGAUGUGCUUCUUUUCGGAAGAAUUCCGAGCCCGACACUGACACGGAAAAUUUGCGGCGGCGAGGACGUAAUUGGGCCCACUUUUGUGAAUGUUGCUUUCCUAUAGCAGUCUCAUACUCUCAACAGUCUUGUUCUCACACCUAUCCUUCUUUUCCUACUCACUAACCAUUCGUACGUGCAUGAUUGUAUACAGAAGCUACUUGCUUGGCCGGUUAGCUCCUGCUUCUGCUUAUUGUCUUCAAAAUAUAAAGUGUUUUAGUUUUAUCAUAAAUCAAGCUCCUCUAUUUUACUAAUUUUUGAAAAUACACCAACACCUACAAUAUUAAAAUAUGUCUUACCUUCCAUUUAUUUGGGAUAGUAGAUUUUUAAUAUAUUUUCUCUAUAUAAACCUUGGCAAAAUUAAAUAAGUUUGUCCUACGAGAAAAUGAAAACGUAUUAUAUUUACAAACAUAGAGUAUAAAUUUUUAUGACAAUGUGGGUCGAUAAAAUUGUUUGGCUACUGGCUCUAGCUUAUGAUUUUUGACAAUGUAGGUUCAUAAGAGGGUUUGUUUUGCUCGCAAAGAAAAGAUGGUUUGUUUUGUUCUCGAUAUCAAAGGAGAGAUAAGACCAAUUGUUGGAGGAAUCAGUCUCAUCCCCUGACCUCAAAGGAUCACUCAAAUAGAAGGCCACAUGACAAGGGCUAUAGCUAGGGUAGUCAACGACAGUGUAAGUCUUUAAGACUUCCAAUGAAAGAGUCAGACUCAUGAAGGUUGACCAAGGGUCCACGAGACCAUGGAACUCACAAGAAGAGUACCUAUAGGCCAUAGGGGGCUACCAAUCCCCUAAGGGGACCAAGGGAGAUACGAACAAUUCGCAGAAGAAAUACCAGAAGUGCAGUGAUCCGUGUGUAAAGGUCCAAAUCCUCAAUGGGAUGGAAGAAUCCCGAGAUUCUCACUAAUAACAAUAGGGAAGUGCUAGCGCCGGACGUCCGAUAAUUUUGUUUUAUCGGACGCUCCGUCGCAACAUUAAAAAAUAACUAUCGAAACAUCAAAAAUUAACACUUGCAACACCGAGGAUUGCAAACACCUUUAUGUGCAUGAAACAUCCCGAAUUGCUUCGUGCAACAUUCAAAACAGACACAUUGCAACAACAAAAAAACAUAUCUUACAACAUUGCAACAACGAAAGAAGAAGAGACGAAAUAAAGAAAACAACUAUAUGCAACAUCAUGAACAAGUCGGUGCAACACCCGAUUGCUGGCAAGGCAGACUGUUGCAAAAUAGAUGAAACAUCAAAAGCCACCGUUGCAACAUCCAAAAAUAACUAUUGCAACACCAUGAGGUACCUAUUGCAACACUCAGAUCCACGACAACCAGCUUGCCGCCGAAGGUCGUCCACCAUGGCUGCCGCCCGAUCCUUCCCCGCUCGGAUCUCGCUGGGGUCGGGGAGAAGGCCACCAGAUCCGGGGCGUUGGGUGCUCCCGGUUGGUUGAGGACGCCGGAGUGGGGGGAGGGGCGCCGCCAGGGUGGGGGACGAGGUUCCCGGAGUGGAGGAGCGCGCCACCGCCGGGGUGGACGAGGAGGACGCCGUGGUGGGGGAGCAGCCGCCGUUGGGGUGGGGGACGAGGCCACCGGGGUGCGGGACAAGCCUGCCAGGGUUUGGGAGCAUGCCGCCGCCGGGAACCUCUGGAUAGAAGGUUGAAGAAGAAAAGGGAUGGGGAAGAAAAAAAACGGUAGCGCUUGCAACAUCCAAGAAUCCCUACUACAACCUCGUGAGAUACCUAUUGCAACAUGGCCGCCGCCCGAUCCUUCCCUGCUCGGAUCUCGCCAGGGUCGGGGAGAGGGCCACCGGAUCCGGGGGCGUUGGGCGCCCUCGAUGGGUGAGGACGCCGGAGUGGGGGAGGGGUGCCGCCGGGGUGGGCGAGGAGGACGUCGGGGUGGGGGAGCGCGCCGCCACCUGGGUGGGUGAGGAGGAUGCCGGAGUAGGGGAACGGGUAGGGGACAAGGCCGCCGGGUGGGGGAGCGCGCCGCCACCGGGGUGGACGAGGAGGACGCCGGGGUGGAAGGUUGAAGAAGAAAGGUCACGGGAGUGGGAUGGGGAAGAAAAAAAAUGGUGGAAAUGGAUAGAUAGGAAGCGCCAAAUAUGUUUGGAGCGGAACGUCCGACGCGUCCGGAUGCUCGUACUGUAGCAUUACCGAUAACAAUAUCACUCGAUGCUCCUGUAAACCUUAGAAUCAGAGUGUUGUUAGUUAUUCAUUCAUUCCUCCAUGUGACAAAAAAAAACUAACAUGGGACUCUUAUAUAUAGGUAGCUAAGUUGGUACUAUUUCACGUCCCUUAAAUUUUUGUAGAACAAGAUUAAUCAAUAUUAUCCUGAGCUAGUUUUUCAAUUUCUUGGAUUGAUUAUUUUUAAUUCUACUCUCUUUUUUUUUCCCAAAACAUAGUGUACACACAUCACUCACCAUAAACACCCUUGCCCUGUAUGAGAACCAUCUCCGAGAGAUUUGCCAUCAGAUCUUAAGUGAAGUCAGUAAGUCACCAUAAAUGUCUUACUUAUUACUUACCACUUGAGGAAUAAUUAGAAAAACAAUAUGAACAUUCCUACUAGGUCGGAGCCUUGGAGACUCUCCAAUAAAUAGGUUUUACGGUCAAUUUGCUCUUUUCCUACCAUGUAACUUUCUACUAUCAUCGUGAGGCAGAGAAUCUCUCUCUCAUCAGAAAAAAAAUAACCUAAUUCUACCACGCACAAUGGCACAAAUAAUCGAAUCCGAACCUACGUGUUUAUGAAAGAUUAUCGACUGCGUAGUAGUAUAUGUGGGGGGCGGUCAGAACGAUUAGAGGUCACAGGAAAAAUAUAUAUGGCCGUGACUAAAUGGGCCAAGCCCAACAACGAAUCAGCAACGCCAAACAAAUCAACCCGCAACAAACCAUUACAAUACAGUAUCCAGUGGACAGCAAAGCAAGUAUAUUUUCAAAGCACAAUUCAAUGGACAGAAAUUCGGUGUAUGAACAAAAAAAAUGCUCAGGCAUAUAGCUUUUGCCAUGUUAAACGAUACUUACAUAGUUCGAUGCUAACAAUGCCUACUAGCCGCUAGCGUACAUUCAAAUAACGAAAUAAAUAAAUAAAUAAUUUUCACAUACAGAAACUACUCCUAGGCAUGUUCUUCCAAUUUGUCUAACAGCGCCUUGAGGGGCCGAUUCCCGUUCACUCCGGGCGGGACUGCUGCUGCGUGCCAUCACUCUUAGCCUUAACGAUGAGAAGAUGCAGGUCGCUCUCGUCGAACAUUUUCUUGCCGAAGAGCCGGAACUCGCGCUGCUUGAAGGCCCAGAUGUCGACGACGUCCUGCUCCUUGAAGCUGCACCGCCGGACGAAGUCCAUGUACCCUUCCCCCUUGACGAUCGUGCCGCUGCUGCUCUCCCACCUCGACAGCAGCAGCUCCCCGCUGGCGCCGGCGGCGAGGUCCACCAGCCUCACGGGCAGCCCGCCGUGCACCUUCCCCUUCCUCUUCUUCCUCUGCUCCUGAAGCUCACCCUCGACGCUUUGCAGCAGCGGCACCGGCUCGGGUUGCCGCCUCGUCUUCGGGGCCGGGUCGUGGAGCAGGUUGGCGGAGUCGAGCUCGCCGGGGGUCAGGAUCGGGCGGAGGCGGCGCAGGACGCCGUCGGACGGGACGCGGAAGCGGUUCUGGUGCGCGUCGAGGUCGGUGCCCGUCACCCGCUUCCUGUCGAUGAAGUGCACCGGCAGGUCCUCCCGGAGCCCCAGCGCCGGGAGGAUAUGCGUGCGCAGGCGCGCGGGCUCCUCCGGGUGGAUGGCGGCGGGCGCCGGCGCCUGCCGCAGCCAGGGAGGAGCAAUGGAGUUCAGGGGAACGGCGCUUAUGGGCUCCACGUCGUGCGGGACGACAGCGCCGGGGUCUGCCGACGGCCGCGCCGGCUUGGCGGCGCCCUGUUGGGAUGUGGCAGCGGCGGCGGCGGGUUCGUAGACGACCAUGGCGAGAGUCCUCUUGCCCAUCUUCUUCGUCGGAAACAGAGGACGCGCGGAAGGCGAGCAGUUGGUUUUCCUUCUUCCGCCCUUUGCAGCGAUCGAUCUGAAUGCACGUCGAUCGGCGAAUUGAGAUCGAAUGUCUGAAGCAUGGAGAGCCGCGGGUUCAGUUUAUAGCUCUCGACGGCGCCGCCUGACACCGAGUCGAACUCGAAGUCCGACGGGAGCUGCGUGCGUGGCCACCGAUGGAGGCAACAGCUAUCGAGCGGAGUAGUCAGCUACCGUCUCGGCAAAGGCUAGGGCAUCCGAGUCCGAUGCAUUUUUUGGAGUAGUCACCAACGAUUCGUACGUGCGAUCCGUGCAAACUGAAGCUGCUUGCUGCUGGCUGGCUCCACCACUGCUUGGUCUGGAAGCGUCGACCGGAGCACAAAUGUUGAAGGAUGCCGUGAGGUGCAAAAAUAAGGUGAAGAGGCAAGAAGCAAACGAGCGAAGUUUAGCAGAUUCAACGGAAGGAAAAGCUCGAGCUCAAUAAGGAGGUAUUCGAGGGUAUCGGUUCGGCUUCGGCGGAGCUUGAGCUUACGUACACGACUUCAUGUUUAUAAAAUUGACCAAGCUAAGUUCCUGUGAAAUGAUGAUAUUGCUAUACAUUACACAGCCUGAGCUCAAGCCUUGCUCCAUGUUUUUUUUUCGAAACGAGGAGAGCUGCCAAUUAUAUUAAAAAGAAGAUGAUCUAGACUGGACAGAUACAAAGCACCAAGCGAUGCAAAAGUUCAAGAAAAAAAAGUAUACAAACGUAUAAGGUCCGAAGCGCGGAAAGAAUUAACAAUGGGCGAUUAAAAUAGAAAGGUGUUUUGCUCCGGCCAUAGUCCACAUCGCAGUCUCAUCUUUAACUUUGUGGAACAUCAUAUUAGUUGUAGAUUCCUUGCGCUCAAAAAUUCUCGAAUUUCUCUCUCUCCAAAUAAUCCAUGAAACAAGCAUGAUUAUGGGCCUUGCUCCAUGUUUUGAUUCCAACCUAGAAUUGCUUUGAAUUCCAACCAAGUGCAUGCGUGGUUCUCAGGCCUGGUUUGGUUUCUUUGCUUAUUUUAGCACCUGUUUAGAUACUAAUUAGAAGUAUUAAACGUAGACUAUUUACAAAACCCAUUACAUAAGCGGAGGCUAAACGGCGAGACGAAUCUAUUAAGACUAAUUAGUCCAUGAUUUGACAAUAUGUUGCUACAGUAAAUAUUUGCUAAUGAUGAAUUAAUUAGGCUUAAUUAAGCUUAAUAGAUUCGUCUCGCCGUUUAGCCUCCACUUAUGUAAUGAGUUUUGAAAAUAGACUACGUUUAAUACUCCUAAUUAGUAUCUAAACAUUCGAUGUGACACGUACUAAAAAUAAGCAAAAGUAACCAAACGGACCCUCAGUCCUUCCUUCCCCUCGGAGUCAUGAGAAAUAUUAACUCCCACAAAAACUGGAGUAUUGUUCGAAAUUCAAAUCAUCUAACCUAAUAACAAGGCUUGGCAAGAAUUUUUUUUUCCUUAAACCAUCUAUACUUAGACGUGGGAUGAAACCACUAUAAUUGCAAAAAGGGCUACUUUCAAACAGGAAAUUAUUUGCACGAAAACUCACUGAAGCCACUGACCAACUUCUAUUCUUCGUUCUUCUAACUUUUAAUACCACUCCCUCCAUUUUAAAAAAUAUGAUGUUUAGGACAAGCCAGUUAGCUGAAAAACAGAGGGAGUAGUAUUUAAGCUAAUACUCUAUAUUGCUAAGUUCCUUAUAAACUACUCCCUCCGUUCUUAAAUAUAUGACGCCGUUGACUUUUUACUCCAACUUUGACCACCAAUAUACGAGUUAGUUAACUAAAGUAAAAUAUGUAUCAUUAUGUCUAUUGUCAAAUAUACUUUAGAUUUAAGUUGUAGGUUUAUCUAUUUGCAAAAAUAUUUGUAGAAAAGACGAAUAGUCAAACAAAUGAAAAAAGUCAACGACGUCAUAUACUUAAGAACGGAGGGAGUAAUAACGAGGUAUUUUAUUGCAAAGGAAGUUUUCCAUGAAAUCGUGCAAGCAUACCAUUUCGCACAGAACUUGCAAAUAUGUGUACAAAAUAUCUAAUUGAGCUUUAAAGCCGCAUCAUUCUGUUGGAUCUCUUCCUCAAAUCUGUUGAGUCUUGGCUGAAACAACCGCAAUAUGUACAAACAGCUCUACAACUAAAUCUCACUUUCUGGGAACUAGCCACUGUAUAUUACAUAACUAUGCUUGCACUUGUCAUACCUUCUGUUCAUGUCCUAUGAAGUAUGGAUACACAAGGAGUAUUGCUCACAAGUCCGUGACAUCAAAAGCUGGGCAAAAGGAAUCUAGCCGAAGCACAGAAUGUUGUCAUUGACCUGUUCAUCAAUUGAAACGUCAAAGCUUUUAUUAAACUGUAAAUAGCAAACUAUCCAUCUACUCCCUCUGUUCUUUUAUAUACGAUGUUGAUUACCUCAACUUUGAACUAACCAGAAUCGUAUAUAAAAGAACGGCAGGAGUAAUACAGAAGAAUAUCAAGAAGCUAAGGACAUAUUAGUUGUUCUCUUUCGUUUUUUCCAAAGUAUCAUUAUGUAUUUUUUUCUAUGACAACUAUCCAUCGAAGUUACUAAUAAUAAUGUGAUGUGCUUUGUGCUUAUCAAUUUUGGCAGUAACCUACAGCUACUGCAAGCAUAUUAGGGAAUCUCAUGGCAAAAUCUCUGCAAGCAUAUUUCUUACACACUAACAUCAUGCAUUGAUCCUAGUUAAAAUGCAGAAAAGAUGCAGAAAAAUAAAUGUGAAAGGAUUCUGCAGUGCAGUAAUUGCUAACUAAGUUUAAAGCAAUGUAGUGUUAAUGAUCUAUCACUGUUUUACUUCAAAAAAGGGCACCAGUUUUGGCAAGGAAGAAAAAUUGCUCUUAAUUUUUUAGGGAAAAAAUCUUAUAUGCCACUAGGAGUUAGGACAAAAAAAGUACUUUGUCAGAUUACUUAUAUGCUCUUAUUAAAAUACAAUUCAAACAGUUCAUGGAUUCCUGGAGCUUUCCUUUCCUCUCAGUUUACCACAAGUUGGGUGUUACACAAAAAGUAAAAAGUGUGAAACAGAACCUAAUUAAAACAAAAUGGAAACAUGAAGCACUAUCAGAUUUUAUAGUAUGUUCUUACCAGUCCAACAUAUCCUGCUUCAGUAGCUCAUACAGUCACUCUUGGCUCUGGAAUGGAUCGCUUGAACUUACCUCAUUCUUUGCAAACUGUCAUAAAUCAAUGGUCAGAUUCAGCAAAAGCAGAAAAAAGAAAAAUGUUUCAAGAGUCUAUCCAGGUUAUUGGGGAGAAACAAACCGUUGCUGUUGUUAUUGUCGCCAUUGUAACAGGUUGACUAGAUGGCAAGACAAAGUUGCUCCAAAAAAGUGGGUCAGCAGAAGGAUCAGCUGGGCUCCAGGUACUCUUCAUUGGUGUAGGCAUGACAGGGGCCAUUGAGUAAGUAGCUCUUUGCACUAGCAGCUCAUUCAUGUUAAUAUUAACUGCCGCUGUAUCAUGUCCAGUAGCAGGUACCGAGCCAACAGCCUUUCCUUCAACAAUUUCUUUACUGAGUGUACAUUCUUCAGAUGAUUUUGUAGACUUCUCCAAGAAGCUUUUGAAGGCAUCAGACUGAGAUAAUAUAUUACAUGCUGAUAAGCCCAUUGAAGAGGGCUUUGAAGGAGAACAGAGACCAAGAGAAGGCAACUUAUACGGUUCAGUCUGUUGCAUUGAACUUUCAAUAGCUCGGACUUCAUCAGCAAUCUCUUCUGCUUUAGAUGUAUCUGACUGCCGUGUCUUCUUGGGUAGCCACCACCGAAUGUAAUUAGUAAGAUCAAGUUUUCUCUCUAAGCCAAAGCUUCCUGCAAAUUUUCCGUCCAACAUGAUAUCCUUUCCUGUAGUUUCAAAAGCUAUAACAACAUUAGUCGCAUGAUCUUAUAGCAGUUUUUAUUAGAGUUUGACAACUAGAAAGAACAGAGUAGAAGUCUUUACAGACUGACCACAACUAAGGUUCAUGUAGUCAUUCCCGAGUAAAUGCCCCAAAGACGUAUCCCAUCUGGAAUUAUGCAGUUGCCUGCAUGAUAAUGCACACCAUUGUGAACUUUCGAUAUUAGGACUUCAUCAAACUUACUAUUGUGACAGUGUAUUAAGAAAUUCAGGCACAAAGUUAGAUAGGACCAAAUCAGGGAUCGGAGUUGGUAGUAUGUACACUAUUUGGGUUUUUUACUAUUGUGACAGUGUAUUAAGUUUCUAGGAUUCGGGUCAAAUCUUCCUAAAAAUGAGGUACCAUCUGCACCUUCUUUAAUCAAGAAUGAAUCAAGGGUUAGCAUAAAAAAAUUAGAUUCCAUUACUAGGGAUAGAAUCUCAAUUGCUAACACAUACCUAGGAAGCCCACGGUAUUUUGGCAACCCCCUGGAGAAGGCACUGCUCUUUCUGCAAUGCAUGGAUCUUCUGGUCAGUGCUUAAUCAGAACAAAAUCAUGUAUAUAGAACACAAGAAAUGCACAAAUAUACCUCCUAAGAGACACAAGAUAAUCCUCCUUGGAGAUCAUCUGCAUCUCUUCAAGGUCUCUUGCAUAGUCAGAGACCUAAAUAAGCAAACAUAUAAUGAACAUAAGUCUGAAAAAAAGCAUAAUUUCAAUUAACUACUGUGACAAUAUGCAUGAAACAUAAAUAAAUAACACUCUAUGUUUGCAACUCAUCGGGACCCACAUGUACAAGUAUCAAAUUAAGCAAUUAAAUGUGUUGAUAUAUUUGUUUUCUCACAUUUACAGAAGGCAUUUUUUGUUGCACAUUCUUAGCAUUCAGUCCAGCAACUUGAAUCAUGCAAAAAGAAGACAUUCCACUCAAGUGCAAUUGUGCAAAUAUGCAAAAAUCAACUUCCAAUGUCAUUUUACAACAAUAAUAAAAUUUUAUGAAUAAGAAUUGAAGUAUAGGUCGGGAAGUGUUAUUUCUCAUCUGUCAUGUGAAUGCAUGGAGUACAGCAGUCAGCAGGUACCUUAGUGCAAGCAUGAUAUAUCAGCACAACACUUUUAUUCGAUUUAAAAUAAAGGGGAAAAAAGAUGGCAACAGCCUAACAAUCAUGAUCUAGACACCUCUUAGAUCUGAUUAAUGUCUGGAAGCUCCCCUUUGAAAGUACAGAACUAUGUUGCUCAAUGUAAGAAAAAAUAAAGGAAUAUUGUUUCUUGAAUUAAACAAUUUCUAUCAACAGAGAGCUAAUCUGAACAUAAGCUGGAGAAUUUUACAGCAAUUCAAAAACAAGAUUCACAAUCAUUAACUUACUGGAAAAUUUAUUUGUGUUCCAGCUCCCCAGUAUUUUAAUGCAGCAAGGUCAUAGGCCCUUGCUGCAGCCUCUUCGUCGUCAUAUGCACCUACGUUAUUGCACACAGGAUAGAUAAUGAUUAACAAAAACCAUAGCAAUUCGGCAAAUUAAGUUAACAUGGGGAUGCCACUUACCUAAAUAUACUGCAAUAGCAAUCGUGCGAUGUAGUUUCCCAUGCAAAAGAAACAAUUCCAUCAAAUCAUAAUGAGAGCUAAAGUCAUAAAUAUUACAAAUAAAAUCAUUUUGUUGUUGACUAAAUACAGCUGUGCUUUUCCUGAAGAUACGAAAUAAACCGGACAAACGAUAGGAAUUUGGAAACUGCAGUAGGCAUAGCUCAUUACUUCCAUCCAUGCCAAAUGAUUAUGGCAUAAUGCAAGAAUAAUCAUUAUUUUCGUUACAACCGAACUGAUUCACACUACUGUUGGAAAAGGUGGAGAGCAUAUUUGAGUGUCAAGUGUUAGAUUGAAGAAAGACACUUGGACAUGGCAAGAUUCCAAGAUGUAUGUUUCACUCUAUCUGGGUAUAUUUAUAAACCAUAGCAAAAUCAUAAUAUUAUAAAACCAUUUGUCAAGGGAAAUGCGUCUGAUAAUUUCCAAAUGUUCAAACACAAUAUUCAAGAAGAUAUCAAUGGCAACGUAUUAAAAGUUUGACUAUAUGAUACAUGCAACCAAAAUUUAUGACAUGAGGGAGAAGUUAGCAGCUCACAGAAGAUUAAUUUGUUUAAGCCUGAUGCCAACAUAAAUCAAGCCAAACUAUCUAUUUAAUGUAAUCAAGUUGCAGUGAGUGAUAUGUUUUCACAUCUUCCAGUUCCAAUAUGUUCAGAAUUUCAAGAACACGUACAACUGCCACUACUCUGUAUAUUACAUCCAAACAUACCUUGUUUGCCCUUUUUGUUCUGAUUCUGAUUCCACGUGCUUUUGUCCCAAAGGUGAGCCUCAUAUCGACCUGUCCACCUAUGCCUAUUGAGGAGUCAUCAAGUUCAGGUCUAUAUCAAUGUAUACAAACAUAGCAAGCAUCAGAGGAAAGGUGAGAAAGUUUCAUUUAUAUCAGUCAUGACAGGAGUAUUACCAAGUAUAAACUGGCUGCUACAUUUGAUGCAGCAACAGAAAACAGUGCUAAGUCAUUAUGGCACGAAAAUUUCAUCUGCAGAGGCUCAGAAGAAAUAUUCUAUUUGGCAAGCUUGACCCAAAUUGCCUCAGAAGAAUUCAAAAUUUUACAUGUUACAUCGACUAAGUACCCAUGCCACAACAGAAGCAGAGUAUGAGACCAUUUUAACACGCCACAAAAGCCUCUGGAAAAUCACAAGCACCAUCAGUCCAUCACAGAUCCCAUGUCAGCCGGUCUUAAACGUGGUUCAGGAACCCUAGGCAAUAUGAACAGUGAACGCCAAAUUAAAACAGUAUUGAGCCACAACCAAGCCAAUAUCCGAUGUACCAGUGGUUGCCAAAAUUAAUCGAGACUGGAUAAGAUUGGUGGUCAACGCAACGCUGUCAAUAGAGCAUAAGUAAACGAGUCGAGCUCCUUGAGGACGUGAGAUCGCCUCAUUUCGAGCCACCGGAACCACGGAGUUAUUGGAACCGCAAACAAAUAGUAGAUCCCGAAUCGCCGAAACAACAUGGCAAUCCCAGACGGAGGGAUUUAGCACAGGAGAGGAGACUCAACCAAGGAGCCAACCAAUCGAAGUGCGCACAGAAGAUUAGCAACGUCCUAAGCUCCCAGUUCGUAGCAAGUAGCAGCACGCAGAGACGUAGAGGAAGGGGACGGGGACGGGGACGGGGGAGCAGGGGACCCUGCGACUCGUACCGAGUGACCCCGCGGUAGAUGGAGCUCCGCUUCCCCGCGGCGCAGGGCGGCAUGCGGCUGAUGCGCUCCUUGGCCGUGCACACGCGCUCCUUCCGCACGGUGAGGGCCCUCCUGGGCGGCUGCUCCCCCGCCGCCACAAUCGCCCCCGCGACGGCGCCGAACGACGAGGACGAGCCCUCCCCUGCCCCCGGCACGGCCAGCCCCGCGGCGUCGGGGUUGGGGGAGGCCAUGGCCGCCCUCCGCCGGCCGGAUCGGUCGGUCGGAGCGGUGCCGAGCCGGCUCGACGGCGAGGGGUUGGUGCGGUGUUGCGCAGCGCAGCGCAGCGAAGCGUAACGGGUGACCGUUUGGGGGCGGCGUGGUGUGGUGGUGGGAUUUGAAAUGGGAGGGGGAGGGGGGAAGGGGGCGGCAUCGGCUGGCGUGGAACCGGGGUUGGGUGGGGCCGAUAGGGACGCGUGGAGCCCACUGGGCCGGCACAGGGGAGACAGGCGGACGGGGAGCGCAGGGGAAUCCGAGGAUGCGGCAUUGAUGUGUUUGCGAUGAUGGGUGAUGGGUGUGGGUUUGGGCCCGGAAGCGACAUGGGAACGGGGAGAUCGGAUCGGAUCGGCCCGUCGUCGUUUCCUCGAACGGCAACGGUGCGCUUCUCGAGAAGCGUCUGGCGCCUCGAGUUGAGUCAGUCGACGCGAGUUCCGGGCGCGUUGGUUUUUAGCUCAGCCAAACGGAGGGGACGUCGUGUCGUCUCGUCGUCUAGCUGCCUGGUGUCCCAAAGCAUCUCGAGGUGCAGUAUCCACGUACUAGUAAUAAUCUUGAGUAAAUUCCUUCUAUGCCGUUGGAAGCUUGCUUAUCCUUUCUAUGCCGUCCAAAAUUUUAACAUCCCUCCAGUGCCAUUGAUGGUAAUUUCCCAUCCCCUGUGCCAUUGCCGUCAAAUGUCAACUUUUAUGAGAAAAAGACGAAUAUACUCCCGCCUUCCUUCUUGCUUCCACCUUUCUUCGAUUUCACGCGCUCCCACUCCCACUCCCACCUCUGCUCUGGCGCCGGCUCCGCCUCCUCGCCCCUGCCCGUGCAUCGUCGGCAGCUUCAAGUCCCCACCGCCGCGCCCUCCAGCUCGUGCUCACCGCCCUUCUCCACCACGAAGUCCUCCCGGACACUGCCUCCCCAUCCACCGUCCUCAUGGCGCCCGACACGGAGCGAGGUUGGGACGCGACGCCGGAGUGGCGGCGGCGUCGCGCACGGGGCUGCGGCCACAGGCGUGGACGCGCGGCUGUGCGCGGCGGCGGGAGCGGUGGUCGGCGUCGACGGCGGCUGAUUCGACGUUGGGGCGCCGCGGACCGUGGCCGCCUGCGAGGUGGCGCGUCGUGAGGGCGAGGUCGCGGCCGCACGGGUCGGCGCGAGCGUGGGACAGAGCCGCGGCUGGCGGCCCCACCGCUGCCGCGUGGGAGCUCGCCUAGCGUGCGGCCGCCGGGUGCGUCGUCCUCGCCCCCGGCGCUCCCUGCAUCCAGCCGCCGCGCCGGGCCGCGGGACCCGCACCCUUGCCGUGCGCAGCGCCGGGCCGUGGCGGCGCCGCCGCGCUUCCCGCGCUGGUGCGCCUCCGCCGCCGCCCCCGCGUUCUCGCUCCGCGCGACCACGCGCUGUGGGGACCGAGUCGGGCAAGGUCCUUGAUGCUAAAUCCGAGCUCCCUUUGCAACAAUCCGAAGCUGCAACAUUGGAUCUGUGAAGUAGCAUGGAUUAGCAAUCCAUUUUGUGUUGGAGAUUGGAGGAAGUAUGCUGUGGGCAGCACUUAAAUUUGUGCGGCAAGAACAGGAGCGGAGGAGAAAACCAAGAGAAUAGGAGAGGAGAGAGAACGGCGCAGUUGAAUGGUUUUCUAACGCCGUGAGGACAAAAGUGACGGUAGUGGCACGUAGCCGAUCAGAAAUUAGAAUCAACGGUACUACUCUAAUUUUGGAUGGCACAUAAGUUGGAUGGCACGGAAGGGAUAUGUAUAGUUUUGAGUGGGAUAGAAGGAAUUUACUCAAUAAUCUUUCACAGUAGACCGUACUAGACAAAGAGUAAGACACGGUGUAGGCGUGUAGUGUGUAUCAUGCUGGUUAGUGGUUACAGGUUCAGUGUAUUUCUUUUCUUUUCAUUUCCGUCCGCUUGUCUCCCCUGUGCACUUGCCGGUUUGGCAUCAGAAAAAACAGGCUCGAGAUGUUCCAUCGCAACAAGAAUUCCAACCGUGGGAAGUUUUUUAAGUGACCGGCAGAAAAAAAAACUUAAGUAUUAUUUUUAUUUAAGAAAAAAGUCCAAAUUACUCCUAUAGCGAAAGUUCAAAUAACCAUAAACUAUAUUUUGGUUCAAUUUACCCCAUAAACUAUACUAUUUGGUUCAACUUACCCCAUAAUGCAAUUUAUCUUUUUUUUUCUCCAUACACAAGAUGAAUUUUAAUUUGAGAUUUUGUAGGGUGACAGUGGAAAUCAUAAUAUAUAUUUAAAAAUAUUUUAUAAAUUUUUUAUCAUUAUUUUUAUAUAAUUUUGUAUCUCAAUGAUAAAUUUUAUUAUUAAAUAUCCUACCCUAUCAAAAUAACGAUAAAAAAUUCAUGAUAUAUUUUCUAACAUGUCUUAUGAUAUCUUUUAUCAUCAUGCAAAAUUUGAACUUAAAACUUCACUUAUGCAUGGAGAAACAAAAAGGACAAAUUGUGUUAAAGGGGUAAAUUGAAAGUGACAUAGUUUAGAGCUACACUGAAAAAAACUAUUUUAGAGGUUAUUCAGACUUUAGUUAUACUUGAAGGCAGUAAUUUAGACUUUUUUUUCUUUAUUUAAUGACUGGAGGUGACUAACGUUUACAAGUUUUUUUUACGUAGCCGUCGAUUUCGCAAGCAGCGUAUGUGCCAUCUUCACCUCUCCGAGUAGACAGGGAUGAAAGGUACUGUCAAUUCAAUUCUAAAUCAUUAAAAUUGACAAGUUUCUUACCUUUAUCACUCCGUUUUCCUUUCCUAUGAAAUUGAAAUCUUUUAGCCAAUUGUGAUGGGUAACUGAAAUUACUGUGUGAUGUUUUUUCUUCAUCUGAUUAGCCUAUUAUCAGGCUCCUGCCCACAAGGUUCGCGAUGAAGAUGUUUUUACACACUUUUAGCUAGAUUUAUGUUUAGCACAAUCCACCAAUUAUACGUAUGACAAAACUAAAUAGUGAUUAAUUACAUUUAAACUAAUUUUAUAUUACAAUUUCAUGAUUCUUUCUAAUACCAUGAUUGAAAAUAAUUGAUUAUUAAGAUUUUCAAAUUCCCAUGGUUCUAUUUCAAAACACAAUGAUGGUUUUAGUUUCGAUUUUCAACCCAUUUCCCUUAAACCCCAAGAACACCUCCGAAUCCCAACAAUGGCAGACCCCCCCCCCCCCCCCCCCCCGCUUCGUUCCGCCGCCAUCCGCUCGCCUCCUCCGUCGACCUCGUUCGAUGGCUCUCCACCUCCUCCUCUGGACGCCUCCUCGCUGACGCCAUCUACGAUCCCUCUUUCGUCCCUGCCACCUCCAGCAUCCACCUCCUCCCACUCUCCGACCCCACUCGCCUCCUUCCUACUCCCGUCCCGCACCUUCACGCUCUGUUGCUCCCCCUCCACGCUUGUCGUCGCCACCUCCUCCCUCGUUCGACUCUGACGCGGCAGUGGCCAUCCCCGGCGGCGCAGGGUUCCACGUGAGCUCAGUCCGGGACAUAGACUUCGAAGGUGAGGAGUGGGUCACGACGAGGGAGGAUGGGAGAGCGCAUGUUAUCGGUGGGGAGAGGAUGGGAGGUUGGUGGUGAGGAGGGUGAGGGACGGGAAGGGGAUGUCAAGGCACGAGGCCGUUAGGUGGGUGUCGCCGGUGAAGUUCAUCAUGAGCGGCGCCAGGUGUGGCGUGUAGUGGUGGCACAGUGCAAAUGGCAUCCGGUGAGUGUAACAAAACCUGUAUCUUUAGUGUUUCUAGCAAUAUGUGAUAAAAACCGAUUCACAUUGCUCACUUAACCUUGAACAACAUUUGCUCAUUUUACUUCUCUAAACUAUUUCAUUUCUGAACAACAUUUGCUCAUUUUACUUCCCUAAACUAUUUCAUUUUGGUCCAAUCUACCCCUGGCCGGAUCCAAAAUAAAAUUAUAGGGGGCUGAACAUCACAGGCACUAAGCAAUCUUGGUCCACUUUCUCAAAUGUUCUGCACUUUGCUGACCAUAAGACAUGCAUGUUGUCAAGCAUGGAAAUAAUGGUUUGUAUAGAGGAUAAAUUUUAGAAGGCUUCAACCUAGUAUGCCGGCCAGUUUGCUUGAACAUUUGAGUUCUAAUAAAAGGAAGCUAAAUGGCUGAUGAUAGGAAUGCCCUUGCGGAUGGCCGAUAGCUCCUUUGCUGCUUGCAGAAGUGAGCCGGUCAGGCUGACAGACAGUCUCAGAGACUGAGCUCACCUGGCACUUCAACGCGCGCAGCGCGCCCUCCUGCCAAGACCGGCUGCGACGCCCGUGCUCGCAGGCUGCGUCCCUUACCGGCGACCGGCCGCCAAGACUGCGGGCGCGUUUGAUUUAUGAUUUUUAGUUCGGGUCGAAUGUUUGUAUACCAAUUAGAAGAACUAAACGUGAAUUAAUUAUAAAAUUAAUUGUAUAAGCUAUGGCUAAUUCGUGAGACGAAUCUAUUAAGCCUAAUUAAUCCAUGAUUAGCACAUAUUUACUGUACUAACACAUGGUCAAAUCAUGAGUUUAAUAGAUUCAUCUCGCGAUUCAGCCUUCAUUUAUGCAAUUGGUUUUGUAAUUAACCUAUAUUUAAUACUUCUAAUUAGUAUCCCAAAUAGGACCGAGCGUGGCUGCAAGCAAUGUGCACUGGAUUCAGAUAGUGAAAUUUUUUUAUUUUUUAUUUUAGUAUUUUGCUAAAAUAUACCUCCUAAAAAAAUUACAAAUCUAUAUAGCUACCGCCAGCUGAACCGGCGGUAACUUCCCACCUCUAGAUACUACACUUUCAAAAAAUCAUAACUAAUUCAUAUGAAUUUGGAUGGAGAUAAACUUUAUAUAAAAAUUGUAGAUCUCGACGAGAUCUAUAAUUUUGUAGAUAAAACUUUUUUCAUUUGAUAUCAUCUUAGUGCUCAAAUAAUCGACACAAAUUUGAACUACAAAUAAAACUUGUGUUGAAUAUUUGAGUACCAAGAUGACAUCAAAUGAAAAAAAUUUGAACUACAAAGUUGUAGAUCUCGUCGAGAUCUACAAUUUUUAUAUAAAGUUUAUCUCUAUCUGAAUUUAUAUGAAUUAGUUAUAAUUUUUUUGAGUUACCACCUGUUCAACUGGCGGUAGGUUGCUUCCGCCGCGUGUUUCCAAGGGAUGCAUGCGUUGGAUUCUGAUCAAAUCUUUGUCGAUCUGAGCUAAGCUCUAUUUCUUUUCAAGUUUACCAUGGAUUUGUAUCUUAAUGUUUGUCCGUUCUAGUUAUUUUGUGAUUAAUGUUUGUCCGUUCUAGUUAUUUUGUGAUUGUUAUUGUCAGAAGCUCAUCUUAUUUUUAUUCUUUAGUGACAUGACUCAUGAGGCAGUAGCCUUCAUUGUCGAGGAUCGUGGAUCUAAAAGACGAGCUCAUGGCUCUACUAGGAUGUUCAUGAGGACCCUUGCAGGCUUGUCGUGCUGUCUUGCUCACAUGAGGAGUCUUGCAGGCUCUGUCUCAUUCGUUUUGUAUCUGUCAAUGCUAAGCUCAAGUAAAAUGUCUGUUCUUUGUGAGAAGCAGGCGAAUAAUACAUGAAGCAGUACAUUUUUUAUACUAUAGUAAGGCAUCUUGGCUCUCUACAUUUCUAGCACUACCUCGAGUACUUACUAAAUUCAUUAAUUUUUCAUUAUACUAAUUUUUGUGACCUUGAUAAACACUUUAUCUAUGAAUCAAACAUGUGACAUCUUCCUACCGGAUUGCGUUACAACUAAUAGUUUAAUUCCUUUACCCUUCUAAAUCAUCAUGCCCUUAGCCAUGACAAAUUAUUUAAGGGAACAUAUCUUGUGAGAACCAACUAAACUUGAAAACUAUAUCAAAACUCAUAAGUAGAUGGUUACAACUAAUAGUUUUUCUUUUUACACCUUCCAUUACCAACUAUGCUCCAUGACAUAAUAAUUGGAUUCUUGCCUUGCUUACUUUCUUCUACGAUUUUGCAGUUAAUGUAAAUGAAAUAUGUAUGAGUUGUUCAAAAAGAUAAGCAGCUUCGUGGUUGAUGAUGGCUUGAUUAAUAAGGUAUGUAGCUUCUCCUAUUUUCUUUGAAUGGAGUGGCAAUGAAUGGAAAUUAUGUUAUCGUGAAGCCACGAUGCCUAAUUUCAACAGUUUUAACAUACUCAAACAUUUUCUUCGAGUCAUGUGUUGCACAACAUUUAUUUAAGUUGUCCAACAUCUUUUUAAAUGCACCAACAUUUCUUGAUAUCGAUCAACAUUUGUUUGACAUACACCAACAUUUUUUCUAUGUUAUUCAAACAAUUUUUAUACUCUAACCAACAUUUUUUUGAGAAUGACUAAAAUUUGUUUACAUACACAAACAUUUUUCCUUUAACUUAUUUCUGGACACACACCAACACUUCUAGAUAUUGACCAAUAUUUUUUACAUAAUAUCAACAUUUUUAUGUUUGCAGAACAUUUUUCCACACUCUCCAACAAUUUAUUUGACAUACAUCAACAUUUUUCUUGAUACACCAACAUUUCCUUUAAAUAAUUCAACAUUUAUUAAUGGCGGCCAACAUGUUUUGAGCAUGUACCAAUAUAUUCUUAAAGUUAUUUUUAAACUCUUACCAACUUUUUAGAAUCUAUUCAACUUAUUUUUGAACACAUCUCCAACAUUUCUUUAUAUUUCUUAACAUUUUUUUCUAAAUCAACAUUUAUUGAUGAUUGGCCAACAUUUUUUCAUAAUCUCCAACAUUUUCUUGACCAUUAUCAACAAUUUUUUUCAUACACAGUUUUUUCUUGCAUUUCAUUGACAUGCACUAACAUUUUCCUUUAACUUAUUCUGGGCACAUAGCACCAUUACUUGAUAUUGACCAACAAUUUAUCUGACAUUCACCAACAUUUUACUUAAUAGACCAACAUUUCCUUUACAUAAUUCAACAUUUUUUUUCAUAUACCAAUGUAUUCUUAUAUUGUUUGCCCAACAUUUUUUUUACAUACUCCAACAUUUUGCCAAUAAUAGCCAACUUUUUUUUGACAUGCACCCAACAUUAAUCACGAACCCCACUUUGUAGGCUAGGGUAGUGUGAUCCUAAUGCAUUAGCCAUUUUUGAAACAGAAGCCUAAAAGGUCUUUUUAUAACAAAUUCACAUAUGAUAUUCCAUGAGCACAACCGUUGUUCAUUUUAUUUUUGUUCCAACUCCUCUCUUAAAAGUACAACAAAUUUCAUGAAAAGUUCAUCCACAUGCUACUUUAAUCCAAAUGUUGUUCUUUAGCUUUUGCUUCUAGGUUUGUCACAAAUUUUCUAUCAAUGAUUAUCUAUAUUUUAUACUUUCAAUGUUAUGAUAAAAAACUGCAUCUAUCUAACAUUUUGUUACCAUUACACAACUAGUAAAUGUUUUCAACAUUUCUAACUGUGUGUUCACCUUUUAUAAUGAAUGUUUCCAACAUUUCUAGUUUCCAAUAUUUUUUAGUUACCACAAGGUCCAACAAUUUUACACGAAUAGGUUCAACUAUUUUGAAUUCAACCUCAUAUUGUUCCAUAAUUUUUCUCCAUUAGAUUCAACAGUUUUAGAAAUUUAACUUCUUACUGUUCAACAAUUAUCUUGUCAAAAUCAUUAUGAUAUUCAACAGUUCUAGCAGUUUCUUUUCCACAUCCUAACAUUUCUAAAACUUAUUGUAAUUCUAUGUUUAUUAUUAACAAGUGCUCUAGUUCUUCAUGAGGAGAUGAUUCAUUUUAGGGUGAUUGAUGUUUCUUAGUUGAGGAUCGAGUAGACCUGAAGUUACUUAGUUAAUUAUUAGUUUGUAUAAUAACAAUUCUAUUCUCACUUGUGUUUUUAGUUGGACGUACAUGUUGAUCAUAUGUAAAAAUUAUAUCUUAGUAUAUUAAACUUCAAAUUUUAAGUUGCAAGUUCCCACCUGUUAGUAUCCCACUUCAAAUCACAUGCCUAGCAAAUUAGUCAAACAAUACAUCAGUCGGUUGAGAACUGGUGUCACGUGGAAAAAUAAUAAUAACACGCUAAAAAAGGUCGAAAGCGCUCUCAAAAAUAAUAACAUGCUCAGGAAAAUAAUAUCGGAGGGGCGCUAAAAAAAGUCAAAGGCACGUGGCGUGCGCAUCCAGGAACGGAACGAAAACUACGAAGCUAGGUCUUGAUGGGCUUUAUAGUUCAAGCGCUUAACCAUCUUCCAAUAUAUAUAUAGGACCUUCCAGGCUUGACCUCCCACUUUGCGACUUCUUCAUGUAUAAGUUGAGUUUUAGGGGGUGUUUGGCAGCACUUCACUCUAGAAAAAAUAGCUCCACUCUACGGACUUCGCAAAAUUGCAGCUCCACUCCACCAACUCCAGGAAAACAUGGAGUUGUUGUACGUGUUUGGCUGAUUGUAAUGCUCCAACUCCAGAAACAUCAGGACUUAUUGCGAAUAGUCUAUUUUACCCUUUUGUGAAUGGACCCACAUGUCAGUCUCUUCUCUCUCACCUCCUCUCUUCCUCUCCCUUCUCUUUUCUCCCCUUCUCUUCAACAACGACCACCAUCGACGUGGCCGCGUGCGGUGGCAGCGCCUGCUCGACGUGCUGGCCGAGGGUCCACAACACCAGCGGCAGGUUGUUGAGACAGCCGGCGGCGAGGCGCAAGAAGGGUCGCGGCAUGCUCAGGCUGCUCCUCUCCAAGAAACUCAGCGGCGCGACGACGAUGGCGCCUGCUACGGCGGCGGCCAAGAAGAAGCGGCAGCAGCGGCCGGCCGCUAUUGGCUAGCACCGCACCGAUGUUGACGUGAAGCGGACCACGCCGGUCCGUUCCGCGAAUGCCGGUGUCCCGGCUUCCCCCAGCGCCCAGGCCCUUAAACCGGCGUCCCCCAACCUCUCCUGUUCUUCUUCUUUCUGCUUCCCCAUUCUAAUCCACGAACAGAGCUAGGCCGCCGGCCGAUUCAUCCGCAUCCCGGCCAUCUCCCUCCAAUCGCUCGCACCUGAAGCUCCUCCACCCUCACAGCUCCAGCCUCCGCCACUUCCCGUCGUGCUCCGUCCACCCCACCGCCGGGAAUCUCGGUUUCCGUGACCGCCCGUGGUCCUCCCGCCACCGCCCGCACCUCAUCAUCGUCGGCCCAACUCCGACCCUCUCCACCCAAACAAAGAACACGGGUGAGCUCCUUGGGACCAACCGGUGCCCGCGCGCCCGUCUUCCCGCCUCGACCGCUGGCGUAGCCGCCAGAGCAGCCGCCGCCGCCGCCUAUCCCGUCCACCGCCGCUCGCCACCAGCCUGCUCCAGUCGUAUUCCGGCAGGGUCAGGUAGGGUUAUAGAUGCGCCUCGUAGUUCUAGACGUGUAGGUGCUAGCCCCGUCGCUGGAAUCCUUACUGCCGGCAAGUACCCGCCGGUCAAACGGUCGGCUGCCAUGGCCUUGAACCGACCAAGGUUGGAGUCUCGGGAAAAUAGAAACGAACUGGUGGUAUAUUGUGUAACGAGUGGUAAAUGUGGGUAAAUAACCCUCAACUCUACGAGGAAGUCUGAAACUGACGUUUUUGGAGCAUCCCCGGAAGAUCCUCUAGGAAAAACGUGGAUCUAACCACUAGCUCCACGUUUUUUGUGGAGCUGGAUUGGAUGGGUUUGACAAGUAAUUUUGUGAAGUUGGUGAAGUGAAGUUAUUUUUUCUAAAAUGGAAUGCUGCCAACAACCCUUGAUGUCAGAUUUAUUUCUGACUCGACCACCCCGCUCCGGUUCCGACUCGACCACCCAGCUCCCGGUGGCCCCACCACACCCGCCUGCGCUUGGCCUAUCAAGUCCGAGGAAGUCUGUUCUGCUGCCCGCUAGAUGGCGUUAGGACUCCGAAUCCGACAUCACCCGAAUAAAAAAAAAAGUCGUCUGUGUUUGUUAUUGGAAGCUUUAGGAGCUUCAGGUUGUGAGAACAUUUUUUGUUGUAGCAAUGUUGGAUGCUCACUGCUACAGUUUGAUGGAGGGUGAUAGCAACCCGCAAUUUUGUGCUUUUGUUUCGGUGUUAGUGCAUGCUAGUUUGGCGCUUUUGGUUCGGGGUUAGUGCACGCCAGCUGUAAGUUGUAACAACUUAGGGUGUUUGGAUACGAGAUGUUAAACUUUAACAGUGUCACAUCGAAGAUUCGGAUGCUAAUUAAGAGAACUAAAUAUGAGCUAAUUAUAAAAUUAAUUGCAGAACCCUGUGCUAAUUCGCGAGACGAAUCUAUUAAGCCUAAUUAAUCUAUCAUUAGCAAAUGGUUACUGUAGCACCACAUUAUCAAAUCAUGAACUAAUUACGAUUAAUAGAUUCGUCUCGCGAAUUACACUUCAUCUGUGCAAUUAGUUUUAUAAUUAGCCUAUGUUUAAUACUCCUAAUUAGCAUCAAACAUCCGAUGUGACGGGUUAACACCUGAUUGCCAAACAUGCCCAAAUUAUUUCUUAUGUUCGGCAUUUGCCCUAGCAUUUAAAUCGGCCGAUGAACAUAGCAGACAAGUCUGACUGUAAUGUACAGAAGUCAAUUUCGCCAUAAAACAAACGCCAAACGUGAAUCCUGCAGAAUUCACUACAGACACGUCUGAGUGAAAUGCCGUAGUACUUCGUAAGAUCUUAGUUUCUGCACCUGCAUCCUGUUAAAACUACACUCAGUAACGGCCUCAUGUGCUCGGUGAACAAGAGAAUGAUAGCUACAUAUGAAAAAAAAGAUCUGGUCAUUACAAAAUCUGUAUGCCACCUGCAAAACACUAGGUGCGAUACAGUUGGCUGUUAGCGAACUAGAUACAAGGGAACAGAGACUACGACCAAGUAAUAGCUAGAACCCCUCCACAAAAACAUUCCAGGUGUUACCUUUUACCUAAGGAUGUUGUCGCCUAUGCAUAGAGAGUAAUAAGGCCUACUAGAUUUUACAAGUUUCUGCCAUCUCCCUGAAACUUUGCCUCAAACCACCAUACACUAAGAACAGAUCCCAGAUUCCAUCUGCGGCAAUGCUUUCAGUGCUAUCCAGUGAUAACUGACUGACUGAAAUCUUGUCCACCAACAGCGACCAGCGACUCAAUUAAGCUUAUUUCUGUGGUUGAAGUUUUCCGACAGAGUGCAGGUACACCGAGACAGACACAACCCUGCAAGUUGAGAGCAGAUUUUGAUAUUGCAUCAUGAGUUUGAAGGUUCUAAUCAACAGAAGUGGCAAUGACAUUCUCAUUAUCACUUACGUGGAUCCAAGGAAGAAUGCAAGGGAUAAAUGGAAGCUAAACAAAAAGACAGAUACAAUUGCUGUCAGAAGCAUUGCAACUGAAGUUGAAUAAACCUGUAAAUACAUAUUGUCAGUAAAAACUGCUGUAAGAUAUUUUCAUUAAUUUAAGUCAAGGACUGCUUGAAUAGAUUAACUUGGUUAAACAAAAGAGCACUAGGAGGACAAAACAUCCAUAUACAAGAUGCAUCUGUUUUAGGGUCAAGCACCUAUAUGGUUUUAUGUUGUUUGGGAGUAUCUCUAUUUGUUCUCCUGGAGCACUGCCCAACAACAUCAAAGCCUUUUCGGCCCUGUUUGUUAGGCUGGGUAGGCUUGAGAUAAAUCCACCACCCCCCCCCCCCCCCCCCCCCCUCCCGUUUUGCAACCCACAACCACAAGGUAGUUUCAUGUGCUUUAAAUUAUCACCAUUUAAGGUAAUGAUAUAGGCACUUGGUAGACUCAGGGUAGUUGUCUUGCUACCCGAAAAACAAACAGAAACUUGCAUAUUUGAAACAACAGGAAAAAAGUAAAAUAUAUGCAUCAAAAUGUAUUGAGUAUCAACUACGUCCUUGAAACGCCCUUAUCCAACCCUCAACUUGUCACCCUUUGACAAUAACAGGGUAAACACAGAACAAAGGACAAGAUAGAUGAUGACGAUUGAAGCGUAGGGAGUUAGCAGGGUGUUGAAUCCUGAGACUGGAGACUUAUUUUCCUCUUUAUACUUGCUCAAUUAAAAUGAUGACAGUGACCUCACAUGGAGGGGCUAGGGCCUAACUCAUGUGAACUAUCUAAAAGGAACCCUUAAUGAUAGCAACCAACCCAAAUGAAAUAUUUAAUAUGGAAACUAAUCAACCCAAUCCUAAUUAAUGUUGCCUCCACACUCAAGUUGCAACAAAGCCGUGUAUGGGCUACAAUGCAUAGAUAAACAAUAGUCGGGACCUAGUGGGCUGCACAUGAAUCAACUUCACUAACAUCACAAAUGAUGCUCAGACAUAAAUUUGAAUGCUAGUGGCACAUACCUUGACUAUAUUAUCAGCAUAUUUCAUCACCAUUGAAACAGCAAUUCCACUACAUGGUAAAUGAAACAAGUGUAAGCUACCUUGAUUAGGUGACAAAAAAAGGGUUUAAACUCUUAGUUGUUGGUACCUCAGUGCAUGGUUCAGAAUCAUCAAAACUGUGAUGAAUGAAUACCCAUGGAAAAAGCCUCUGUGCCAGAUAGCGUAAGUAAAACUGUUAAAUACAUGAAUUAUACUGAAGGCAGCGUAAGAGUUUAGUAGUUUCCAUGAGCACUAACUUAUUCAUGACUGCAUCAUAAUCCUGAACACAAAUUGCAACUAAAUUGAAGAUCACCCCAAAAAUGUAUAGCCAAAAGUUCUGCACGUUGAUGUUUCUUGACGGACGUUUUUUAAUGAUAGCCUGCAAUGUCCAAAGAUAAAUCAAAACCUUCCCUAAUGUUUUACACCAAAUGAAUUCAUUUAAAGUAAGAUAUUUAAGAGAAGAGAAACCAAGAGCAACAAGACAUACUUCUGUAUAUACCCCAGCAAAACCACUUAAAAGAGCCAUCACCUGCACGAGAAUGACCAAUUCAGCAAGGUGAGGGAAAACACUUCCAAUAGUAAUCUAAAUGAAACUGAAUGUCUUCAAUUACAACUCACAAUUGCCAUCAUCCAACCUUGAAUAGGAGUUUGAAGCACAUGGUCAGAUCUAAAAAUGGACAAAUAACAUUUCAACUAGUCAAAACUCAUAUUUCAUUAAAUGACCAAAUGACACUAGACAAUGCGAUGGAGGGAGGGAAUUAAUGUGGGAUAUUGCUUAGUGCUUACGAAGGAUUGAGUUGAGCUGUCGUGCAACCAGCACAUAGAAGAACAAAUGCUGCCCACUGGAUUUCACUUAACCUGAAAGGACAGGAAAGACACGGAAUAAAUAUACAUGCACACAGUGAAAUACUGGAAACAGGGAACCAUACUGGUGAAGCAAAGAUUGUGAGAAGUUCCAGGAAGGUGAAGAAAACAGAAGUUGUGAUCAGCUAGAAGGCCAAUAACACAGAGGCAAUAGUUCUUUUUUUGUCAGCUCUGGUAUCUGCCAUAGGCAAAGAUUUGAAAUUCUAGUUCUGCUUCUAAUCCAAGCCAAGCCAUGAUGGAUCAACAAAAUAAACUGCAAUCAUGCUACGUAGGGCUCCCAUUCCUAUGGUAAAGCAUAAUGUAGCGAUUAUUUCCAGUUGCUCAGAAGAUACUAACUUUUUCUUCAAAAUGAUGCGGUACAAGACACCAGUGCUGAUGAUAUUCAGGUUCUUCAAGAUCUGGUAUGCUGGUGCGUCCACAUAAGCAAAGAUAUAGUACUGGCACAUAACAUCAAAUGGAAGGGUACGUCAACAUGCUAAACAUCAUGCAAUUAAAUUGGUCAUAUCACAGAAGUACCAAACGUACCUGCAAUAAGUUCUUCACCAUAUAAAGAACAGCUGGAAUCGGAUAUACACUGACUUCAUCAAAAGAUGUGGUUAACCUGAAAAAAAAAACAAAAUCAAAUGGCAGCUGAACAACUAAAUCUAACAGAGCAACAGUUAUAGACCAGUGGCGGAGCUUCAACAUAAAUCAAGGGGGGGCCAGUUAUGUGUAAUCAAUGGGAUUAAGGGUAAAAUUACAUAGUUAUCUACUUUUGAUUACUGUCACUCAAAGGGAAAUUAUAAAGUGAGGGGGGGCCAUGGCCCAUCUUGGCCUGCACUAUCCUCCGCCAGUGUUAUAGACCAACCGCCAGUCUCAGUUUGAUAUAUUCAGGAAAAAAAAUCACUAUACGUUUUAAAUUUCUUUGGAACAUAAGACCAUGUCAUGUUAAUUUACUUGAAUUGGUAAAUCAGGCUUCUAAUGGUCUACUCCAGCCUAAUGUAAAAAAAUAUAAUUAUAUACCCAUGAAAUGUAGAAAGUGAGCACGAGGAACACAGUUGCCAGAAUGCAGCGCUCACCUAUUAUCAUCAGUAACACCAUGGCGGUUCCAUGUCCUAAAUAGAGCAGCUAGUGAUAGAAGGCAUUUUAAAGCCUCGACCUAGACAUAUACGUAAAAAAGUUACUAACAGAAGAUUGUGCUGAAAGAACAAAAGAGGAAAAAUCUGACAAUCCAGUGGGCACAUUAGUUCAUGCAAAUUGAUGGACAAUCUAAAUAUAUACAAUAUACAUCUCGAGACAUAAUUUUCUCACCGAAAAAUUAGCUGUUGUGACACUAUAUUCAUACUUUCCGGCUCUUUUUGACCACACAAUUAAUAUUGCCUGAGAACUUGUUAGCAGCGUCAAUGCAAGAGUAACAACAGACCUGUCACGACAUAAAGAUAAGAUGUCAGAUAAUAUUGAAGGAAGUGAUUGUAAAGAAAGGUUGAGGGAAGCAGGACUUACUUUAGCUUCCAACUAGACUUGCCUUUUGCACCUCCUGCAGAACUGAGACCACUAGCUGUAGCUGACAGAAUCAACAAUAAGUUCCACGUUGUACAAAUAAUAAGAGAGCAUUUCGACAACAAUGUAUCAAUAACUUACUGUUUGCGCUAGAUAGCGACCUCCCACUGAGGCUUUCUACAUCCUUCUGAGAUAAAUCAUCAUAACUCUCCUUCAGGGACAGAAGAUACAUUAGAGACUGCUCUAGAGAAAUAAACGGUUGGUGUAGUGAAUAAAAACAAAUAAAAGCAAUGGCCACGCUAGUUACUGCUGAUUUUCUUUUCAUGUGGUUACCUACGGUUACGGGAGACAGGAACUGGAUCAAAAUUGGUCAAAUCCAGUUAAAACCCUACAGAUCAUGAUUUGUGCAUGCUGGUCCAGUCUUUUCACCCUUCAAGUGUUAUAAAUAACAGAUACACCAUUUUGCGAAGCAUCAGUUUAUCAGUUCACUCUUUAGGUAGUCCGUCAUAAAUGACAGAAUUCCAAGUUCGAGCAGUCGUUGACAUCAUCAGUGAGUCGAACUUAAAACAUAAAAUGAGCUAAGUCACAAUGUUUUUUAGGUUUGGACUGCCGUUCCGACAGUUUUAGCUUUGCAAGCAGCCAGCCAAUUAUCAGGUAGUGACUUAUACUUUUACUCCCUACUCAACUGGGAAACACAAAGCUGAACUUGGUUACUUGGGAAAGAACUACGACAGACUUGUCACUUCACCCAAGGCCCACAACAUUAUUCUAGAAAGCUAGUAUUUGACAGUGCACACACAAUUGCUUGCCUCUGUUGUUCGAAUCAUCUCCAAAUUAACCAAUACCACAAACUGGGCUCACUGGAAAUGCAGUCGUGUAUUCUGAAUUUAUACCAAAACGAGUGGUGGCAAGAGCAUGGCCAAUCUGAGAGAACAAUACAAUCUUAAAAUUCGACAGCAUUGCCAAUAGCAGUUAUCCAGCACAUGGAAAACGACCUGACUCCCCAAACAAUAUUUGCAAGCAUGUCAAUCCCACGCACAUUCACCCACAACACCACAUUUUAACAACGACAGUUACAGAAAUCUACCGCCCAGGUACCGAUUACCAGUAGAUUACGAACCCUAGGAUAAGACAAUGCUAAGAGGGAGAAAAGGGGAGAAUUUCUCCUAGAUCGAAGAGGCUGCAGAAGGGACCUAAUCGGAGGGGCGCAUCGAAUCUGAUAAAUUCCUCUCGGGGUUUGAGGCCUUUUGCAGUUGCUAAUCCAGACACGGGAUUUACCUGAUCCUUCACCCUCCUGUACUCCAUCGCCGCCUCUCCGCUUCGUUCCGGCUUGGAAGCGCUUGGGAUUUGAGGGGUCGAGGGAGAGCGCCGCCGCGCGCGGCGUGUGGGAAGGCCGGUGUGUGGGUCCCGGGCCAAGGUGACACGGGCACGGGAGCCGAGGAGCGUGUAGUGUGGUGUGGACUGUGGAGCAGCACGGCGGAGAGCCGGCGAGGGCUGGAAGCGUAAAGAGUGUGCGUGGCAAAUCUGUAAUUUUCCUGGGUUCAGUGAUACUUUCGCCUGUCAGCCUGUGCGCCAGCUAACAGCCUAACAUGAUGAUAGCGAAAGAGCAAAAUGUGAGUAUAAAAACUUUGAAUACUACAGAGUCCUAUAAAGUUAUAAUAUAACUUCUAAAAAGUUUGUACGUAUAGUAUUUUUACGAUAAUCCUUUUACCUACGGUUAAUCUCUAUCAGCAACUCCUAUUGGUGAGCUCCCACUGCCACCAUACCUUGUACCUUAGAGGGAGGAACAUAGGGUGGAGCUAGAGGGAACCAACCUAUCAUAAGCCACCGCUAAUAGAGUUUUGCAUCCCAUUUUAGGAGGUAGGAAAGGAUUUAGGAUUGCUGGAUUGGGAGGUCACGGCGUGAAUUUUUGACGUUCACAUCUGAUCCAAUGGAUACAAGUUGUUCAGCUGCUCAAGUUUUAUUCCUUUCGUCGAAAAACGCAGGACAACCGAAAUGUAACGAUCACGUGUCGGCUACUCCCUACUGCACCACAUCCAUCGGUCCAUAUUCUCUCCACCUCGUUUAUUUGGUUUGGCUUCCGUCAAAAGAAUUAGUACGAGGCAAAACAUUAUCUCAACUCCCAACCCUAGCCCCUAGACUCACAAAAUUGCUUCUGAGUGUUUGGAACCAAGAACAUCCAUUAAUCCCGCUUCCCCAGCUAAAUCAGUCUAACUCAUUUUCAUGGGAUUAUGCAUCGAAUUCAUUUUUUUCCUCGAAUAUGUACGAAAGCUGCGCAUCAUUUUUAUUAAGGUCCCGUUUGGAUCAUCGGAAUUGAAUUCCAUCCUAAUAAUCAUAAUUUAGACACAAAUUAAUUAAGCUAAUAUAAUUGUAUGUGGAAUAUAAUUGUAUAUUAUAGUUGGUGAUAUGGGAGAGAUACUUGUAUGCUGCACUUCUACUAUAGAGAAGCGAGUCUAAGAGCGUGCUAUAAGAAUUGAAUUCCAUUCUAAUAACCAUAAUCUAUACCCCAUGAAUUUAAGAUAGGCUUAUAUCUAAACUUUGGAAAGUUGUGGAAUGCCACAUUCCAACAUAAAUUAACCUACUCCAUAAAUAGAUUCCAAUUCCUUGGACCCAAACGGGGCCUAAGAUGAAAUGAAAAUCGAGAAAGAAUGUUUACAUCAUCACAGUGCUGGAUCCCAACCCUUGAAGGGUGUUUGGAUCCCGGAGCUAAAGUUUAGUCUGUGUCACAUCGGAUAUUCGGAUGCUAAUUAGGAGAACUAAAUAUGAGCUAAUUACAAAACUAAUUGCAGAACCCCUAGGCUAAAUCGCAAGACGAAUCUAUUAAGCCUAAUUAAUCCAUCAUUAGCGAAUGUUUACUGUAGCACCAUAUUAUCAAAUCAUGGACUAAUUAGGCUUAAUAGAUUCGUCUCGCGAUUUAGCUUAGGGGUUGCGAAAUUGAUUUUGUAAUUAGCCUAUGUUUAAUACUUCUAAUUAGUGUCCAAACAUUUAAUAUGACAAGGGCUAAAAUUUAGCCCGAGGAUCCAAACACCAACAACCGACUGCUAGUACCUACUAUUCUCUAUUUAGUCACCCAACCGGGAGGCUUCUGCCUCAAUCCAUUAGAGCACCUCCUUUCUGAUUCCCCUCAACAGCUCAUGCACCGUCGCGGCUCGGCUGUCGAAUGGGCGUGCGUUGCGUUCAUCCCACAAGCUCAAUAUGAUUAGCAUGAAGAGCGUAUCGAUUAGCAUUAGCGUAGGUGCUCGUCGUUCAACUCAAAAUUAUCUUUCCACAAAGAUGUGUGGUGAGUGUGGAUUAAAACAUUGGUGUUAGCAUGCAGCAGACCACUAUCAUAUAUAACGACACAAUGCAAAUUAUACAUGACGCGGGCACGAGACGCACGUCACGUGCAUUGUGAUCAGAACGAUUGAACGAAAUUAAACACACUGCCGGAAGGAAAUAAAGUUUCCGAGUCACCGUCGUAGAAGACGUUGCACAGCUGACGCGAGAACUUGCGAUAGCAUGCGUGCAUACCGCAUACGCUUCCCGUGAUGCACCCAACGGUCACAAUGCACGGUCGAAAAUGGAGUACUAGCAGUAAUCAAUACUGGAGCACGCCGCAUAGUACCAAAAUAAUUGCCUAGGACUCUAGGAGUAUACAGUAUCGAUCAAAACAUGAAUUAAACGAAGCCAUCGGCAGCACGUCGAUGGGCGACACGCAUGCGUACAACCAGCGGCGCGCAAUAUGCAAGGUCGCGGUCGCCGUCGACCGAUUAUUUCAAAGGCCGCCUCGCCGCCGCCGCCUCCGCCGCCGCCGGCGGCGGCGGCGGCGGGAACUCGUGCUGGUAACUGGCAUACCCCUUGAGGUCCUCGAUGGCGGCUAGCACCUUCUGCAUGUCCCUCAGCGCCUUCUCCUCCUGCCGCGCGAUCUUCUCCUCCAGCUCCCUCACCCGCCGCCCGUCUGCGCCGCCCUCGCCCCCGGACCCGGAGGAGGAGGAGGGGAGGCUGAUGCUGUCCCAGAGCUUCGAUGCCCGCGCCAGGAUCGAGGUGGGCCUCACCGGGCCGACCAUCUCCUCGUACCUGUCCCUGAGCUUCCACCCGCCGAUCCCCCCCGCCGUCGCGAUGCACACGGUCUUCACGAACCGCCAGAACAUCUCGACGCGAUGGUUUCUCGCUCUGUACGUAGCUGUAUCGUCGUCGUCUCGGACCCUCUUGCUUGCUUGCUGGGUGCGUCGCGAUCUGGCUCAGCUAGCCCGACGGGCGACGGGCGAGACGACGACGACCGUGUGCGAGAUGAUGAAGGCGAUGGCGUGCGCGCUGAAGCCGUGGGCGAUUGGGUUUAGUAGUAGUAGCUGCUGUUCAUCGCAGGCGUGGCUUGCGUCGCAAGACGCAAACGGAGUUUGUGUCGUGUGCCCGCCGGACGGCGGCCGUGGUGGGUCCUUACGUGCUUUGGCACGACGGUUGGUUGAGGGAUGGGCUUAAAUGGGCUAUCUUUGAGGUUUUGGGCUUUCCGCGGCGUUCAUGACCCAACAACGCGUCCGGCCCAGCCCAACAACGCGUACCGGCGCGCGCGUGCACGUAGCAUUUUACUUACGAGCGUAUAAUAUACGUGCACGUGUAUACCCUGUACUUUGUACGUCUGGAGGGAGUCUGGCUGGACUGCACGGCGCGUAACGUUUGCACCACGGAAAAAAAGAAAUGGGCUGGGAUGAAGAAGCCCCGGGCUCCGCUUCGAUUACUCGGCCCCCUGCGGGUAGUCCAGCACAUGCGCACGUGCGGCCCACUAAAGCGAGCAUCGGGCGUGGGGGCGCUCCCCUACUUGCGCAGCAGAGUUUAGUACCACCAUGGCUAACUAAUAACGACGAAAACAACAGCUUAUAAAUUGAAGCGUUGCACUAGUCAUCGUCUCUUGAAACGAUACAGAGAAGAUUAGUUUGACCCCACUUCUUUUUCAGCCCCUGCAGCGUGCGGUAUCGUUACAACGAGGUCCCUCUUCGUUUUCGGUUACCUCCAUCCCUUUUUCUUUCUUUGCAGCUGCACCCCUGGAUCGUUACAUAUUGGACCUAGCAACUUCUGCAUAAUCAUGAUAAGGCCCUUACGAGUGUGGCAGUUAAUUACCUGUCACCGAUCUUCAUUCUUUUGUGUCAUUCAUUUUCUUCUUCUGCCUUCCAGAAAUAUAUUCAAGUUACGUUUAGAAUAAUAUGCAUAUAAGUCCAAAUUCUCUAAAGAAACCUGUUUACGUAUCGCAAUUAUUUUUUUCUUGUGCUGCACUCGACAAAGAUCACGAUGUUUGUCAUCCAUAAAAAAAAGACCCUGCUUUUCCCGUCUACAGCUUUUCUUCUCAAUCGGCUAGUCUCACUCUCACAUGCACUCCAUUGCAGUAUAGCACUCUCCUCUCCCCCCGUCUAUAAUCGCUCCUAAAUCAUUUCAUUGUGCUUACCUUCGUAGAGUACUUCGUCAAAAACAGGAGACUGGAGUAGCAGGGUUGAUGUAGUGCAAGCUUUGACUAUUCAGCACAGCUGCACAAGCACAUAUUGCAGCCCAGCCAGCCAUCACACUACACUACCAAAUUUUUGGAGUCAAACAAGACGAUGGCCAAAUCACAGGAACCUGAACAAAUACGACUCGAAUUGUAUAAAUAUUACUCAAUCCAACACAACACACGCAUAAGCUGUCAAAACAAAUUCCAAUCACUUGUUUGCAGGAUUAAUUUGGCAAAUUACACUUUCCUCCAGGCCUUGCUUAAAAGAACGAAACCCCAAUCUGUCCUAAGCGUCUCCCGUGAAGCAGAUGAGUAGUGUACCAGUUGUAGGAAGCAUCUCUAACUUAGGUGACGAAACCUGCGGACAUUUCUCGAGCUAGGAUUGGAUCACGUCACCUCGAUUUCUCAGCCAUCCGAUCUUACAUCUACGGUGAAAACAAGAUCGCACGAGUGGGCAUUGUCUCAGGCCAGCUAGCUUCGCGUUCCACCUCACGGCUUGUGAGUUGCGAGCGGCCGGCUUCCACGCCGCAGUAGCAGCUUCGAUGCCGUUGACAGGGGGGAAGGGGUGGAUAUCAAUUUGCUCCACCUGCUCACCAUGAUUAGUUUGUCCUGUACAAACCGAUGCGAAGAUUAUGCAGCAGCCAGCAGGAGCUUCCAGCUUGCAAACUAAUUCUUACUCCAAAAUGUGUAAGCUUAAUUGUACAAAUUUCCCUAGGUGGUGCCUGUAGCUUUCCUAUAUUAUAUCUCACAAAUAGUUGCACCUAACUUCUUAUACUGUACAGUGUUGUUCAGAACCUCAUACAACUCUGAGUGAUAAUUUUCUUAAACGCAACCAUUCACUUAAAAAGGACUUAAACUUCUACGGAGAGACGAUACGCUCGCCAAAACCUCCAUGAUUAGUUUGUUAGGUGCAGCAUCUCUGUAUAACUGAACUUUUUGAGUUCAAUGCAGGAAUAGGCUUCUGGUAUAGCAUUACUGAAUUUUGUGGACUUGACACCGGAAUGUGACACCAAGCUACAACGCAUGAUGAAGAGUUGGGCAAAGGCAAUGCUAGAAAAUGAAAAAAGCUAUGUUCAGAAGUGUUCUAACUUGAUCUGGAUGACCUCCAUUUCUAUACAACAGUCAGCUUGGAGAUUGCUCCUAAAUCAUUUCAUUGUGCUUAACUUCUUAGAGUACUACGUUGAUGCGGCCAUAAUUUUGUGAUAAUUUUUGUGCUUUUCCCCUGGUCCGACCAUGCAUAUGCUGUUUUUUAGUCUAUCAUGGUUUGAAUUAAUGUCGUAGCAUAUGCAAAAUCUGACUUUAAUUUACCUCUUUUAUUGUUAACCAUAUAGGAAAACCAAAUGGUACACUUAUCGUUGUUGCAUUUAGUUUCAUUCUCAUUUCACUUUCACGUUACUUAUAUAUAUAAACCUGAUUUGCUUCAGUUGAUGACUACUACAUCCAUAGCUCCUCGAACCUCUGUAUGUGCAUGUAUUUAUUAGCUUGAUGAAACUUUCAGUUUACUGAUUCGAUCUUGCAAAAUUGCUAGACUAUUAGUUUCUUCACGAUUCAAUGUGACAGAUUAAAGGUGACACAGUGUUGUUCCCCGAUGCAUGACCAUAUCCCAUGCAUUGCCGCACGGGUGACUAGUGGGAAAAAAACUGGCCCAAUCCGGCCGUGUCUAAAGUUCUAGUGGUACUAGAUGAGUGCCCGCGCGUUACAACGGGGUCAUAAUUAUACGUGUAGGAGUGAUUUAGUUAAAUGAUAGCGUCAAAGAAUCAACUCCUCAUAGUUAAAAAAAAAAGAAUCGACUCAUCAAUCAUUUAUUAAAUUAUACGUACGCAAUACGUGCAUUCAUGUACGUAAAAUUGUAUGGAUGAUGUAUAAAUAACAGUAUGACACAAAAAUUAUAAAAAAUAAAAAUUACAGAUCCCGUACUUAUUGCAAAAGUGUAACAUUCAUCCCUUAUAUUUUAAUUGGUGCAAAUCAAUCUCUUAACUAAUUAUAUUGGUGCACUAAUCAUCCCCUAAUUUAAUAAUGGUUUAGUGUCAUUUAAUGACGAUUUAUGCCACAUAAUCGUCUGACCAAUCACUGCUUAGCAAUUUGAUGCCAAAAUGGCUACCCAUAAAAUAUUUUUACGAAAAAAUUAACAGAACCGAUCUGUUAUAGCGAUUGACUCAACCUAAGACGUGGCUAAGCAAUGAUUAGCAAGAUGAUUACAUGACUAAAACUGUUGUUAAACUGUUGUUAUAUGAUACUUAACCAUUGUUAAACUAAUAUGGGGAGAAUAAAUUCACCGGUUUAGGUUUAGUUAAGGGGUUAAUUGCACUAAAUGCAAUAUUGGAGAAUACAUUUUUUUCCCUAGAGAUACGUGUCUAUGGGUUUCUGCAUGCGAGGUUAAGGAUGAAAGUGUUUGGGAAAAAAAUUUAACCCCCUCCUUUGGUUCUGUAUAUUUACCAAUAAACAUAAUAAGAGCUGGUCGGGAAAGGCGAAAUGAAACAAUUGGGCCAGGAAACAUGUCGACAUCUGUUGGAAACCAAUUCAAAUAUGAAAGACCAUUUAUUGAUACACCAAAAAUUAAUGUUUUUUGACAUUAGUCUUGCACAUAUUUCAUGUGCGAGUAUAUGUCUUAUGAGUAUACAGCCGAACACAGUGAUUUGCAAAGAAAAAAUGGAAAAGGAAACAAAAGAAGAAAGGGUCACCUGAUCCUCUUCGGUGGGCUUUAUGGGCCACCAUGCACAGAGCGACAAGCGGUGCUGCGCUUGCAGGCUGCUGCCCACGUGCAUGCACGAGCUAGGUAGGCAUGCUCACGGCGGAACCGUUCGGCGCGGCGCGCGUGCGGUACGGAGCCGGGAAAAAAAAAAGAAAAGCAAAGCGGGCAAGCGGAGGAGCGGUUCGCGGCGGACCGACGAGCAGCGACACGUAGUUGUAGAGAAUAGCACGUCAUGACCAACCAAUUUUAUCUCUACUUAGGCCUACUGUAUGCCUAUUAACCUGGCAUAGUCCACCCACCUGCAAAGAGAAGUAUAAUCAGUAAGUGAACUGAUCAAAACAGACAGCGGUGACAGCCUCCUUAGGGUAGAGAAUACUCACAGACAAGAACCCAAAAAUGUGUUCCCUGUCCGAACUGCAAAACUCAUUGCGGUCAAUGCUAGUUUGUGGCGGUGCAGUAGUGGCUCGAGCAGUCGUUGUUCAAUCACUCCAGCCACAAUCUGGUACCUGUUGAAACAUGUUCAAGAACAAAACAAUAAGCACCAAAUAGACUAUCAAUAUGUUUAUGGAUGAUUAUUAUGCCAUCUACUGUAAGGAGUUGACAGUUAGCAAUCUUUUCAUUUCGGUGGACAAUAUGCAAUUAGCAUUUGGCACUUCACAAUAACAACAACGCAAUGACAAGGACUCGUACGCAUACAACCAGAAGUGUACAAACAUUUGCUGUCAUACUUAAAUUCAAAUAUCAAAGAGCAUAUUAUGAAUUGUACAGUAGCUUGCAAUGAUCUAAAAUAAAAAAUCAGGAAUGAACAAAAUAUCCAACAAAGAACAAAGAGCAGUCAGACAUUUGCAUUAGCCCUUUCCAUCAGCAGCAGUCAAUUCAGGAUUUUAUGCCCUUGAGGAAAUCUUUCAGUUUCACACAAUAUCGGUUGGAGCAUGUAAAAAGUUUCAAUAAUCCUAGAACAACAUUCUACCAUUUUGAUCCCCAAAAAUAUGCAUGUUUGCAUGUCCUGGACUCCUAAAGUCCUAAUGCAUCAUAUAUUCAUAGCUUCCUAACGUCUCGAUUGGAAUGAGGCAGUCACUCUAAAUAGAGGAAUUAAACAUAAAAUAAUCACUGAGAAGUUCAUCCAUGGGAAUAAUUAACAAUUGGCACAAAUUAAAUAUCAACAGGGAAAUUGUUUGAGAUGAUGAUUGUUACCUGAGGUUACUAGAAAUUGACAUGUACACGCCAUACGCAAUACUAGUUUCUACAAUUGGAAUAUUCUUGGCUUCCUUGACUUCACCGGCAGAAUCCGAGCUGACAGCCUGCCUUGCUUUUAUCAGUGCAUUGGUCGCAGUAGUGCCGAUCUGAGGGGGAAAAAAAUGAGGACACAUCUGUAAGCUUGCAAAGUCUUGAAAACUUGCCUUGACAUUGACUAGACAAUUAUUUCUGUUAUAUGAACAAAAACUAAAUAGUAUAUCAAUUUACCACCUUGACCUGAUGAUUUACUUAAAAGAACAAAAGACGCUCUGACUGGAAGGUACAUUGGUCAUCAGUUUUACCAUUAAUCAAAAUAUCUGAUACUUUUAGCUUGGACGUCAGAGUAUACACAGAUACUAAACUAUAUAUUUUUUUCACAGACGCAUAAAAGUUAAUAAAAUAAUUAGGUUCGUAAACUCCAGGGCUCAAGGUUUUCCAGUUCUCAAUUACAAUCCAUAACAUACAUGCUUACAUUAAAAAGGUAAAAAUGGUUCAAGCAUUUCCUGAAUUAGUACCCUGCAUAACAUUUUUUAGCUAUUAUUUCCUGCUUAGCACGAAGAAGUUUAGAAAGGAAACAAUGGCUCUACUGUUGCCAUUUAAGAGUAAGUCAAAAUAGACUGCUAGUGUUUGUGAGAAAAAAGUACAUCCGCAUCCUGACAAACUUACCAGAGAGGCACUAGUUCCCACUGCAAAAAGUUUUGCACCAUUCCUCUGAAACAAGCCAAAUUGUCAGUUCGUAAUAAAAGACCAUUAAAGCUACUCAAAUUCAAAUUGAUUGUGAGCAACAUAACAAAACAAAUAAAUUCAACUUUACCACAAUAGCUCCCGCUCUCUGCAAAAGUGUGUAUGAUCUCCCAGCCAAAGCAACCUACAGCAGAAAGUUGCCAAUCUUCAUAUUCAAGUUUAAACCAAAAAAAAGCAAAAUUUUAAUGUAUACAAUAUAUCACAGGAAAGGGGAGGGAAUGAACCUAAGGAACUUGAUCCAAUUAAAUGGGAGGUAAAGAUCAGGAUACCUGGAAGGCAUUAUCUGGGCAGUUGUAGAAGAAUUUAGAAAUGGCUCCAGAAUUCAUCGCUAGUGGUG
RNAcentral lists this long non-coding RNA (50096 nucleotides) under Setaria viridis. RNAcentral describes it as "long non-coding RNA (SVIR_LNC002934)". Lineage: Eukaryota; Viridiplantae; Streptophyta; Magnoliopsida; Poales; Poaceae. The record is from RNAcentral.